This 80605-nucleotide long non-coding RNA is filed under the name Triticum aestivum (bread wheat). RNAcentral's name for it is "long non-coding RNA (TAES_LNC007629)". The stretch from base 7738 to 7811 matches the Rfam family "tRNA". The record is from RNAcentral. Lineage: Eukaryota; Viridiplantae; Streptophyta; Magnoliopsida; Poales; Poaceae.
CUCAGUCAAAUUGGACUCCAGUUCCUUCCUGGUCCGUCCAAGGUAAACUGAUGGCUCGUGCUAGGCGUUAAAUCUUGUGGAUCUCAGUUUCUUAUAUAUCAAUCUGAAACCAUCAAUUUGCAAAUUCUUCCUUGCUUAUGUUACCUCAUGGGUGAGAAUGGACAACUUGAUUAAUUGUUUCUCAGGCUUUACCUGAUACACUAUGAUGAGUCUAUACUAGAACUGGAAUUGGUUUUUUAAAGUUAAAUGUUGUAUGAGAUGCUAUAGUUUGUCAUUUUGUACCGUAACUUAUCAUGUAUCUACGUGGCCCAUACAAUACAGUUAUGAGCAACUGAAGGUUUCAUAUCACCAAUGUUUUACAAAAGUAAAAGGUUUCUGUUUGGUGGGCAUAUUACGUCAAUAUAGUUUUAUUGUGGAUUACACAAGGGCCAUGACAUGGCAUGUGCCUGGUGCUCUUUAAGCUGCUUAUCUUGAAGAUAAGCAAAGUUCUGUUCGGUCCAAUGAUGUUUUCUGUUGUUGGGUUACUCAGGCAAGAUCGAUUGUGUUCGGUUCAUAAUCACUUAGUCACCUAGCCCACCUGUCAUGCUCUUUUGGCUAAAUUGCCACAAUUGUGUCCAUCACACUUCGGCCAACCAAGUAACCAUAUGCCAUGACUCUCGGUCCAUAUUCCUUUGUAUGUGGGCGCCGCGCGGGGUUGCGGUGGUAGGAUUCCUUGCGGUUUCAGGCGAGGCUCGCGUUGGCAGGGGAGGGAUGCGCGGAACUGCCCGCCGGGCGUCCUGAUUUCCGGUGGAUGCUUUGGAAUUGUGAAGAUCUUUUUGGUUGUGUUCUGCCGUACCGUGUCCUCAUCGGUGGCUGGUGCGUGUACCCGCAGCCCGUGGCAGAUAUUAGGGGAUCUCUCCGUCUAACCGUGCCGCCGGAGAGGAUGGAGGAAACGGCGAGGAGUCAUUUUUUUUAGAAUGGGGCAUGGGAGGAUUCGAGUGGAGGAGGAAGAUGGCGAGAUGAUGAGUCUUAAUGGUGAUGGUGUUUGAGGUUGGUAGUGGGCCUCUUAAUUGUGUUAGAUGUACAUUAUGGAGGCCCAGUUGGGAAAGCCCACUGAGAGCCACUGCUGUCUGACGGGCGGCGCACACAGAGGGCCCCUCUAGGAGACGGAGAGGGAGAUGGCGGUGGCUGCAGGUGCAGCGUGGUAUCGUAUUCGCGGUCAGCGGUGGCGAGAGCGCGCCGCGUAGGAGGAUGGUUGGGAGGCGGAGCGACAGGCAGCGUCGUGGCGCAUGGCUGCACCCGCACGGGUGAAGCAGCAGCCGCUAGGGAGCUGAGGCAAGCCGCAAUCGUCCCUUAGUUUCUGUAUACUUCUCUUGUCAGCUGUCACCGUAAUUGUCAAUAUAAAUUGCCAAUUUUGGUUGCUAAUCCCGCAGGUUAGAACAGUAGGCCGAAAAACGUUGUAUCAGCCGCUUUGGCUCUUCUUCUAAGAAAAUGAUGCAUCUUUCCAUGUUUAUUCUAGAAAGUAGGAAAUGCUAGCUCUGUAAAAUUAUUCUCAGAUGGUGCGACACUGCAACUGCUCCGUACAAAUGUGCAACUCAAGCAGAAAUAUUGGGCGUGCGCUAGUUCAGAGGAAAUUAUUUGGCCAUGACCCUAAAAACAGGAACCUAUUUGCCCAUUGCAAUGUUUUUCAAAUUUAUCCAUGAAUUUGAAUUGGAUUGGAUUAGAUUGCAUGACAUAGUAGUUAAAUGGAUGUUUGGUUUGUCUACACAAAGACCGGUAUAUUUGAUUCAAGUCAUUGCCGCAUCAUCCUUGCAUUUCCCCUGUCAGUUUACCAGUGUGAUUAUAUUAGUGUAUUUUCCUUGGCAUUUAUGGCAAUGUCCCUCAAUGUAUCCAUGAAAUGCUAGUUUUAUUUGCGUGCACUCUAAUAUGUUUUUGGGAUUCUAUUUCUGCUCAGAUACGUUUAAGAUACUGUUCCUCUAUGCAUAGGAUACAAUGCUUAUAAUAUAUAGCUGUUUAGCUGCUAACGCAUCACACUGGUGUGUGGUUUCGCAGAUUCACACGGCAAUCAUUUUGUACAACUACUCUGACCAUGAGUAAUGUUAAUGUAACAUAUAAUGGAUCUUUCCAUUUUAUGGCUUCUCCUUACGUUUUCAACCCCAGUCUCUCGAAUCCUUGGCGCUUAAUAGAAAAAACACUGUGCUAGUCAAUGUAGGUUAUGAGGAAUGGCCUGGCAUGAAUGAGCCUACCCAGUCUUAUCUUGUGUAACUUCACAGUUGAAGUAGUAAUAAUUGCAACAGGUUUUUGAUGUUCACCUAGUUUCUUGACCUCGAUUCUUUGUGUAAUCCUCUGGUUAUUCGAUUAUGCCUUAAUGCAUUAUAGUAGACACUCUAAUUUAGCUGUUGGAUUCUUUCUGCGCCGAGCUAUUUUCCCAUCAUGCCUUAUCUGGAUGCCUCUAAUGUAUUCUCCGCUCUGGUCAUGUCAUACGCCUAUUUGAGAUAUUGUUUUGUAGACUAAUACAUGUUUGGAUUUGUUAACGAGAAUCUAGAACAGAAGCAUGACAGAUUAUUGUUUCCUCCAAAAGGGGAAGCACCACUUUUUUUAGAUGCAUUGUUGCCAUGCAUUAUAAAAAUGACAGGUAUGCGAGGAUAAACAAUGGUAGGAUGUGGUUCAUGCAGUUUGUGCUCAAACAUUUUUUGUUUUUGAAACAGAAUAAUUUGUGCAAAAAUUUGAUCAAUAAGCUGGUCUGUUCAACCAACGGUUGGAUGUUUUGCCUUUUUGUGAGAAUUUAUAGUCUACUUUUCUAUCUCUACCAUGUUGUGCUUUUAGUAUAAAUAGAUAGAUGAUGUGACCUGGCAAUAUUGCACAGAACAUGGGUUUAGUAACAAAUAUAGAACUUUGGCUUAUCAUUAUUUUCAAUGUUUUUCAUGGCAUUCAUGAAAUUUAAAUGUAUCAUUGGAAUUGAGUUAUCUCAUGUCAGGCAUCAAGGUCAAGACCAUAUUUCUGUGAAAUGCGUUGAAAGGAUUCUGACGAUAUUGUCGUUGGUGAUGUUAAGAGUCGCUGAAGAACUCAUUGCGUUAGACAUUGCUAUUCAUCCAAGACAUGAAAAGCAAAUGAGACCACAUCAGUUGGCAGGUUUCCACUUUCUGGUUGUUUCACGAGUAUUGUUCUUUGCUAUGCUGGAUACGGUCAUGGGUAUUAUUGUGGUGAUCUGUUUCCUGCUAGUACAUUGUUGUUUGCAAGCUUGUAUAUUUGUAGGUAUUGAAGCAACUUUGCUCUUUGAAAUGCUAGUGUGAAUAUAGUUUGCCCAGUUGAAGUAUUUCCACUGCCCUUUACACUCACAUCACCUUUGUGUUUUUCUUUCCUUUAGAGACUCCUUUUCUGGGUAUUCUGUGCAUGAUUAGAAGCAAAGAACAGUAUUUGAAUUUGGACUGAAUUUACUGUAGGUGAUAUUUCUAGUGUAUCUCUAGUAGCUACUCCCUCCGUCCGGAAAUACUUGUCGUGGAAAUGGAUACAAAUGGAUGUAUUUAGAACUAAAAUACAUUUAGAUACAUCCAUUCCUCGGACAAGUAUUUCCGAACAGAGGGGGUACUAGCUACUAGCUUUAUGCAUAAAGUUUCAUUACUACUUAAAUUGGAUUUUACCAGGUGAAAUACAGAGCUCGAUGCCAAAAAUGAGGAUACCUAGUAAACCUAGGAGAAAUAUUUGAUGAAUAAGGUGCCUCUUUGUUCAGCAAUUACUAUGCUUGUGUUAAACAAUUAGUGGGUUGACUACUACAUAAUGGCCGUUGCAUUUUAUGAUCAUUAUAGUUCUCCACAUGUAACUGUCCGUGCUUCUACUUAUGAUUGCCUUGUACGCAUCCCACGUUUUUCUUGUCCACCUUGCAUGGGGCUUAUAUGCAACAUCAGCAGAAGUGCUAUUUCCAUUGCUGGUGCAAAUUUUUUUCUUCUCUGUUAUAUGAUAAUAACUAAUUAGUCAUCUGUUUCUGUAGGCAUGUAUUACCGCAGAAAAAGAAAGCCUUCCGACCCCAUCAAUAAUCUUUCACUUACUGCAAAUACGAUUUGCAGUUGGAGAUGUGGCAGUGUUACCGAGGAGUGGGACAGCUUGUAUGCUCAGAAGGUCCAAUUGUUAACUUUGCUUUCUACUCUGCCCGAGCCCGCUCUGAGUUAUGGGCCGAGUGUUCAAACCAAUAUGGCCAAUUCUAUUGAGCAAAGAGAACAGAAAAAGAGUGACAUAAUAGUUCUUGAUUUGGAUGAUGAUGAUGAAAGCACAGGAGCACACAAACAACUGAUGCCUGAGAAAAACAAACAGCUCACAUCUUAGAAAAAUAAACAGCUGAUAUAUCAGAACAGGCUGGUGCUCUCAUGAGGGUGGUAACCGAAGGAAUUGAUGAAGUAAAUGAGACAAUGCAUGAUAGAGACCAAAACAGUCAAAUUGUUCCAUAUAGUCCAAGUGCAACUUUAAUGAAUCAGUAUCCUUCAGCCAGCUAUCAACCAUUAGCAGUUCUGUUUGAGAGAGUUAUAUUGCAGAAAAGACCUGAGGAGGAACGUAUCCAUGAUCUAGUUGUGUGUACUUUUCACUUGCAAUUUUUUACUGAACUACUCCACGUAAUGUGGUCCUUACACUUUUCCAGAAUUACGUCGCAGAAGUGUUCAACAUCUUGAACCUUUUAUGCCCAAAGUUUCUCAAGAUAGUAGCAUAUAUCCUAUUGUUGAUAAUGAAUCAAGUAUCAAUAUCAGGUUGCAACUUUAAUGAAUCAGUAUCCUUCGGCCAGCUAUCAACCAUUAGCAGUUCUGUUUGAGAGUUAUAUUGCAGAAAAGACCUGAGGAGGAACGUAUCCAUGAUCUAGCUGUGUGUACUUUUCACUUGCAAUUUUUUACUGAACUACUCCAUGUAAUGUGGUCCUUACACUUUUCUAGAAUCACGUCGCAGAAGUGUUCAACAUCUUGAACCUUUUAUGCCCAAAGUUUCUCAAGAUAGUAGCAUAUAUCCUAUUGUUGGUAAUGAAUCAAGUAUCAAUAUCAGGUUGCAGAGUCAGUAGAAGAUGCCCUACUGCAUCAUGAUAACCACGAGAAAAGCAUAUGUCAUUAGAAGUCUUCAGAGAACUAACAAAAAUCGUGCUUCACUACUACAAGGGUGAUUCUUGGAUGAACUACGUGACCUAGUAGACUUCAGUAUCUUAAGAAAGAAAUCGUUCAUAAGUUGGAAGCCUAUGAGAAGUAAAAAAAACCGCAGUAGGAACUUCCCUGUACAUGCAUCCAUGUCUGUCAGAAAUAUUAGAAGUUGAUGCUGCAGAUAGGGCUUGCAGCUUGACAGAUGUAAUUGUUGAUAGUCUGGUCCGGUCAAUCAACGUGGCUGACGGUGUGAAAGCCAGAUUUUUCACCAAUAUCCUGGCACUUGUGGAAUCUGCGGUAGAGAAGGUCAUUGCAUUUAGUCAGUACAUUACUUCCCAUGAAUUUUUUGGAAAGUCUAUUGGUUAAGACAAGGGGCUGGCAAGUAGGAGAGUUCUUUGUGAUCCGUGGUGAUAAUAAAUCUACUUCAGAAGAUAGAGAACUGACAAUGGAUCAGUUUAACAACACUAUUGAUGCAAAAGUCCUGUUUGGCUCUACCAAGGCAUGCAGGGAGGGCAUCUCCCUGGUGGGCGCAUCAAGAGUCUUCGUUCUAGAUGUUCACUUGAACCCUUCUGUUACCCGUCAGGCAAUCGAGCGGGCGUACUGGCCUGGGAAGCAAAAGGAAGUGUUGGCUCGUAGCAGCUGAUUCUCUGGAGAACACCUAUGAAACUGCAUUCAAGAAGGAGGUGAUACCAAAGCUGUGGUUUGAAUGGAGUGAGCAGCGCUGCACGUCGGAGGACUUCCAGCUGAACGAAGUUGAUAUCGAUGACAGUGGGGAUGAGCUGCUGGAAAACAGGAUGAUAUGCUGGGACAUCAAGGCUUUUUAUAUGCAAGGUGAAGGAGGCUGGCUGUUGUACGUACACAAUGUAUAUAUGGCUUUCCGACCGUUCGAGAUUGUCAUUGUUGUCAAGUAAGGCUCCUCUAGAACCGAAAGAAAGAGGAAAAGUACUUGACUUGGUACCUCUUUACAGAUACCUUAUAUUGGUUCUUAUGGGCCUUCUCUUCCUUCAGAUGCAUCAAACACUCUACAUGUUGAAAGUCUCCCAUCCAACUGUACUAGACGGGAGCUUGCACGUAUGUAUCCCUUUAUGCAUAUGACUCUCUUGCUAUUUUUUUUUGACAUUUUGUUCAUAACUGAACUAUAUUUUAUGUUUGUCCUUACCAAUCUAUGUCUCAAUCUUUUCUUUUCUGUUUUUGUUUUCACCAUUUAGUGCAUAAGCUCCUUGACUCUUGCCUUUUACCGGGUUCUGUGAAGGCUGGUCAAAGAGGAUAUAAUAGUAGACACCUAAUAGCUUAUGAUGUCUUAGAAACUCCUGCCUCGGCGAUUUUUGCCAUGAAGUCUCUGCAAGGUGACCAUAACAUUUUUGUCAUCCUAAGUUGUGCCUCCUACAUUCUAGUAUCCUACUUUAAUACUAAUGUCACUAAAUCUUUUGAAGUGUCGUUUGCACAUCCUUUGCAUCAAUAUCAUUGUGUGCCUAAAUUGUGACUCUUAUCUGAGUACUUAUGAUAGUUGUCAAUCCUUGUUGAUUGUUUCCUUAUUUGGUUGCACAACUUUCAUGUUCUUACUGAGCUAGAGUUAACAUUCUAGAAUCUGCAUGCACGAUACAUCCAUUUGCCAUAUUCUUUUCUGCUAUGUUUCACUUCCAAUAGGUUAUGUCUUUACUAAUUUUUUAUGUAUCAUACAUCUUUCCUUAUAUGAAUUUAUCCAUUUGAUAUCCAGCAUCUGGCAGAUAGCUCUAACCUAAAUGUUGUGACAAGUGCCUCGUAUUGCUGCCACUAUUUUUCGUUUCUUUAGUAUUUUGGCACAUCAAAUUUUAUUCCCUAGAUGAUCAAUUUCGGGCUUUCUACUUUUAGCGUAAUACUUUGUAUGUGACUCACUAUUGUACUAUAGUACAUAUGUUCAAAUAUGAGCCUAUAGCAUGAAGUUGACACUUGUUCAGUUGUGGGCUUCAAACAAAAUGUGAUGCUUCCUUUUGCAGGUUAUUUGUUUGACAUACAUGACAAAUACUCGCUCAAAUUGGACCUUCAAUUAUUUGCUGGUCCGAGGUCAACUGAUGCAUCUUCGUGGGUUUUGGUUUCUUCAAUAUCAAUCUAAAACCUUCAAUUUGCAACUGCUUCCUUUGCUUUUGUUUCCUCAUGAACGAGAAUGGACAACUUGAUUGUUUCUUGGGCCUUACCUGAUAUGAUAUGAUGAGCCUAUAUUAGAAUUGGAAUUGGUAUUAUAAGUUGCAUGUUGUAUGAGAUGCUCGAGUUUGUUAUUUCAUAUUGUAACUUAUCAUGUACUCCCUCCGUCCCAUAAUGUAAGACGUUUUUUGACUCUGGUGUCAAAAAACAUCUUACAUUAUGGGAAGGAGGGAGUAUCUGCAUGACCCAUACAAGACAAUAUGCGACAGUGGAUCAAACAUUCAAACUUUUUGUGAGCAUCCAAAGGUUUUUUAUUACAAAUGUUUAACAAAAGUAAAAGUUUUAUGUUUGGUGGGCGUAUUAUGUCUGUCUCCAAUCUCAUGGAUUGACAUUAAUAUUUAGAAAAUGGAUGCCUUUUGCAAUUACUUGAGAUGGAAUUCGCCAUGGAAGAUAUCAUGUAGCUUUUGUAUGUUACAACUUGCGUUAGUGAUAUUACAUAUAGUUAAAUACUUUUUGUAUCCAAAUAGCUGGAAUAGCUCAGUUGGUUAGAGCGUGUGGCUGUUAACCACAAGGUCGGAGGUUCAAGCCCUCCUUCUAGCGAGUUUUUUUCCACUUUUCGUGCAUGUGUGAUAUAAAAAGAAAUCCAAAUGUAUUAUUUUAGUAUCAUGUAUUUGCACUAUACACUCUAAUUAUAGUUGUUGGAUUCUUCCUACACAUAGCUAUUUAUCCCAUCAUUCCUUGUAUGGAUCCCCCUAACAUAUUCUCUGCACCGGUCAUGUCAUGUGCUUAUUUCAACAUAAACUCAAGAUUGUUGGGUAAUCUAUUUAAUUUGUAUGAACAAAACAGCAUGAAAGACUGCCUGUAUAAUGAUCAAUGGCCAUAAUUAAGCAUGUAGCUUUGAAGACCUGGAGAUUUUAGUACAUGUUGAGCAUUUGAACUGCUUUUAAUUUGCGAUGAUAAAUAAUAGGGUAUUAGUAUGCCAUCUUGACAGUUGGUACAACCACUAAAGUGUUCUUGCUUUUGCCAUUCAAAUUUUGACUACAUAGAACUAGGACCCUUUUGUAUGGAAUUUAUGGAUCUAACUAAAACAAACUUUUCUACAUCUAAGGACUGUACUACAGUUUAGUUAGUCCAAUGCUUACCAUGUUUUGCCUGUGUAUAUGCAAUAUACAUUUAGUUAUAUUUCUGGUUGAAGAGAAGGGUUGGGCGAUACUAACUAUAGUGUCAAGAUGCUUGCAUUGUCUUUAACUUACUUUACAGUUGCAAUACUAGUUACUGGAUUCCAUCCCUCAUGUUUUUAGAUAUUAUGGAAUAAUGGCUAUAUCAGACCGUGAUCCCUCUACAGUCGUAGUUGUCCAAAGAAUUCUUUAUUUGGCUAUCACUGCCUAUGUACCUUGUGAGCUAGUGUUGUCGAAGAAAUCGUCAAGAAUAGAUGACUUUGUGUAUGUUGCUUCUCCUAAAAGUGGAAGCACCAUUUUUUUUAGGUGCAUUGUUGCCAUGCAUUAUAAAAAUGACAGGUAUGUGAGGAUUAACAAUGGUAGGAUGUGGAACAUGCAGUUUGUGCUCAAAUUUUUCCUUUUCUUUUCGAAACGGAACAGUUUGUGCCAAAAUUUUAUCAAUAAGCUGGUCUGUUCAACAAACGGUGGGAUGUUUUGCAUUUUUGUGAGAAUUUCAAGUCUACCUUUCUAUUUCUACAGUGUUUUACUUUUAGUAUAAAUAAAUAGAUAGAUAGAUGAUGUGGCCUGGCUACAUUACGCAAGACAUGGGUUUAGUAACAAAUAUGGAACUUUGGAUUAUCAUUAUUUUCAAUUUUUUACAUGGUAUUCAUGAAAUUUAAAUGUAUCAUUGGAACAAUCAAUUAACAUUGUGUUUACCUCAUGUGAGGCAUCAAGGUCAAGAUCAUAUUUUUGUGAAAUGCGUUCAAAGGAUUCUGAUGAUAUUGUCAUGGGUGAUGUUAGAGUCGCUGAAGAACUCAUUGCGUUAGACAUUUCUAUUCAUCCAACACAUGAAAAGCAAAUGAGAGCACAUCAGUUGGCAGGUUUCCACUUUCUGUUUAAGAAUUUAGUCUCUGACAAACCAGGAGGUACCAUUCUAGCUCAUGCCCCUGGUUCGGGGAAAACAUUUAUGCUGAUUAGUUUCAUUCAGAGCUUCCUGGCAAAGUAUCCCUCUGGAAGGCCCUCUGGAAGGCCUCUUGUUGUACUUCCAAAAGGCGUAUUAGGUACAUGGAAAAGGGAAUUUCAAUGGCGACAAGUGGAGGACAUACCACUAUAUGAUUUGUAUUUGUGAAGGGUGACAAAGCAGAUCAUUUGGAAAUCUUAACUCUUGGCAAGCCAAUAGGAGUAUCCUCAUGGUUGGAUACACUGGGUUCUCUUGGAUCAUUAACAGUGAUGGGGUUGGCACCAUUGCUUCAUGCUGGGACAUGUUGCUUAUGUUCCCUAACCUACUUAUAAUGGAUGAGGGCCAUAUAGCUCGGAAUGAGUCUGACUAAUGUGCUAGAAUCACUACGCAAAGUAUGUACUCCACGUAAGUCCUAUCUGGUACACUUUUCCAGAAUCGCAUUGCAGAAGUGUUCAACAUCUUGAACCUUGUACGCCCAAAGUUUUUCAAUAUAGUAUCAUCUUGACUGUAUAAUGAGUCAAGUAUCAAUAUCAGCUUGCAGGAUUUCAAAAGGAGUCACUGAUAAAUUCACCAAGUCAGUCAAAGAGACCCUGCUGCAAUGAUGAUAACUUCACGAGAAAAGCACAUGUCAUUAGAAGUCUCAGAGAACUAACAAAAUACGUGCUUCACUACUACAACUCUACAAGGGUGAUAUCUUGGAUAAACUACCUGGCCUAGUAGACUUCAGUGUCUUCUUGAAACUCAAUCCCAAGCAGAAAGAAAUCGUUCAUAAGUUAAAGUUGAAAGCCUUUGAGAGGUUCAAAAAACCCGCAGUAGGAACUGCCCUGUACAUGCAUCCAUGUCUGUCAGAAAUGUCAGAAGUUGAUGCUACAGAUAGGGUUUCCAGCUUGACAGAUGUAACUGUUGAUAGUCUGGUCCAGUGUAUCAUCGUGGCUGACGGUGUGAAGGCCAGAUUUUGUCAGCUGGGUUGCCGUGGCACUGUGGAUAGUAUCGCUGGCCCAGUUUGGCAUCGCAAGUGAAGGGGAGGAAGGACUGGAGACUCUUCUUCAACACGCUUUUCUGGAACCUCGACUAGUGGGAUAGCGCAAGCACCAUGGCGGCAAGGUGGAGCGGCCGGAGCGGAUGUUCCUCCGGCGCUGGCGGUGGCGGUUGUUCUGAUCGCUGUCGAUUUGCGGUGCUGCCGCUUAUGGCCGCCACAGGCACCACGGACGCACCGUCGGAUACCUGGGUCAAUGGCUACUUGGCCGAUGCCGCAGGCGCGUACAAACGCUUCUUAGUAUCAGAAUUAUUACAGGUUGUUCUUAUCGUUGUGAGGCAAAAGUUUUUCGUCAUUUUGUUUGUUCUCAUUCUCAUUCGCUUUCUUUGGUUUUAUCAUGUGCCUACAUAAACGUCUUAUAUAUCUUGAGACGGAGGUAAUAGCAAUCAUCUAUCUUAUAUAUGCAUUAGAAACAAAAACAUAGGAUAUCUAUGUAUCAAUAUACUUACUGCCGCCUCCUUGCAAAUAAAUAUGUAUACUUGCUGCCGCCGGUCAUAUUCCUUUGUAUCUGUGCCUAGUUUUUUUUCUUGGUUGACAUUGUUGGGCUUAUACAGCGGUCUCCUUACACGAGGGUAAACGUCACAUUUCUGAAACAUGUUUUUCUUCUGUGAAAUUGCUAAUCUGGGAAAUUCUACUUUUAUGAUGUGCAUCUAGCUUAACUUUAGUGAUUAUACUAUUUUAUAUUAAUGGGUUUAUGCCAAAAAAAUGUAUAAAGUAUAUGCUCUUGGAUUUCUGCAUAGGGUUUUAUAUAUGCAUAAAGGGGGGCGGCGUGGCGGUCUCCUCCAUCGGCAUGUUUAAAGCCCAGAUGAGCAGUGGCUCAUUCCAGCUCCUCGGGAUGGCGGAAUUUAGCCUCCUCUCGGCUGUUUUUGCUCGCGGCACCUCCUACACCGGGACCCCGUGGGUCGCUAUUGCCGCAUCGACCGUUGUCAUGAUCGUUGUCCUUCGAUUAUGUCGCCAACUUCCUAUAUAGCUUGGGCACGUUGCUCGAGUUUGCCUCCUUCUGGCUCCGUGCCAAGCACCUGAUGCUGAAGCGUCCCUACCGCAUGUCACUAUCGCUGCAUGCGCUCAUGGCCAUGUGUGUCGUGCCGUCGGCUUUCCUGGCCUAUGUAUGUGUGGUGGCCGGGUGAAGGGUGUUCGGCGUUGUUGCUGGGCCGUCAGCUCUCGGUGUCGGUUGGCAUGGCGUCAUGAGGGUCUGCAGGGCCAGAAAGUUGCCCAAGUUCAACAACGCGGUUGUUGCUGUCCAUCGAGAGGAUGUUGAAGAGAAUGUUUGAACUUUAGAGUUCUUUAGCUGAACCGUAAAGAGUCAGAAGUGCAUGUCUCUCUCAUGUAAUUUGGCGAGCUGGAUUUGGAGCUAAAAAAAACCAAUCCCUAGUCUCGAAGAACAUAAACAACGAUCCAUGGUGGUACAGAAUGAGGAGGGAACGACAAGGGGGGUUGCUUUUGUCUAUAUGUUGUCCUCUUAUCAUUUUGUUCGUGUAACAUGUAAUUGAUCCCCCCCCCCAACACACACGCACCCGCGUCUCUCUCCCCAGCGACUCGGGGGCGUAAACCCUAUCGUUGCCACACCUUUCCACCCAAGCCUCCAUCGUCUCGCCGCUGCAGGCUUUGAGGCGCGAGGUGGCCAGAUGUGGUGCCUCUCGUGCAUUUGUAUGGCGGCGUUGAGGUGGUGCGUGGCGGCGCGGGUCGCAGGUGAAAGUGCAACUAAUCCCCGGAUGAUUUUGAUAAUUGAUAACAACAUCGUUGAACUAAUGCCUACUCAAAGAAUAUUUCACGAAAGUUCAAUUUAGCUAUGGCAAUGGGAUGUGAAUGUGGACCAACAAAAUGCUCACGAAUGAUAUUGACAAAUAUUCAAGACUCUAAAAUUAUGGUUAGGUGAUCCAAUAUCACACUGAGUCCAUAAGAAAGCCAAUAUUAUUAAGAGGGGAUGAGGUAUUGAUCAUGGCGUAACUGCUUAAGUGCUCAGGGAUAUUGCUCAAAUUCCUCGAUCGCACCCUCACAUUCAUCUUUGUCCUAAACCUAAAGUUAUUCUUGGUCUCACCGAAACACAUAUAGCCGGAUCCACCGAAUAGCGUCUUGGUCUCACCGAGAUGGCCCUUCGGUCCCACCGAUGAGCACUUGCCGACCUUCUAUUGCCAAUUGAAAUUCAAUCAAAAAUUUUGAGUGGUUUCAAUCGGUGACACCGAAGUAUGAAAGUGCUUCGGUCAUCAUCAUUCAGUCUCACCGAGAGGUUUCAUCCGGUCUCAUCGAAAAGCCAAAAGUUCAUAAAUCUCUAUUGGAUGCAAUAAAUUGCGAAGAAAAAUCAUGGCACAUAUGCAACAUACAAGCCAAUGCUUGCAUCAACGCAAAAACAAAUUGCAACCUGAAUGCAACAUUUGAAACUCAUACCUACCGCAGCAGAUCGUUGUAUGCUUGGAGCAAAGAAAUAUGAGAUUGAUGUUGGGGAACGUAGCAGAAAUUCAAAAUUUUCUACGCAUCACCAUGAUCAAUCUAUGGAGAUUCUAGCAACAAGAGAGAGAGGGAGUGCAUCUUCAUACCCUUGAAGAUCGCUAAGCGGAAGCGUUACAAGAACGCGGUUGAUGGAGUCGUACUCGCGGCGAUUCAAAUCGCGGAAGAUCCGAUCUAGCGCCGAACGUACGGCGCCUCCGCGUUCAACACACGUACAACUCAGAGAUGUCUCCUCCUUCUUGAUCCAGCAAGGGGAGAUGAGAAGUUGAGGGAAAACUCCGACAACACGACGGCAUGGUGGUGAUGGAGCUCGUGGUUCUCCCGCAGGGCUUCGCCAAGCACUACGGAGGAGGAGGAGGGAGAGUGUAACGCCCCGGAUUCGAUGCGCCGGGUGUCUGCUAGUUAUUUGCCGUAGUUGCCAUGUCAUUUGCUUGCGUGUUGCAUUUUAUCAUGUCAUCAUGUGCAUCUUAUUUUGCUUACGUGUUCGUUUCAUGCAUCCGAGCUUUUUCCCCGUUGUCCGUUUUGCAAUCCGGCACUCCUAUGCCCUCCGGCGUUCCCCUUUUGUCUCCUGUUGUGAGCGGGUGUUAAACAUUCUCGGAAUGGACUGAGUCUUGGCAAGCAGCCUUGGUAUAGCACCGGUAGACCGCCUGUCAAGUUUCGUGCCAUUUGGAGGUCGUUUGAUACUCCAACGGUUAACUGGGUAACCGUAAAGCCCCUUUCGUCUUGCAGCCCAACACCCCUCCAAAGUGGCCCAAAACCCAGCAAGCUCCCCUCCAUGCUCUCGGUCGUUCGAUCACGAUCGCGUGGCCGAAAAUCGCUCCUCAUUUGGACUCUCCUAGCUCCCAGAAAGUAUAAAUAUGCCCUUCCCGUCCAAAUUCACGGAUGAAACCCUAGCCCCUUCUUCCUCCGCGCGCCGGACACGUCCGCCCGGCGCCGGACACGUCCGCCGCCGCCCCCUCGUCCAACCACAGUGCGCCAGCUGUCCCGCGCUCUCUCUCUCCUCCGCGCAUCGCUGCUGGCCCACCCAGGCCCGAGCGGGGCCCGCCCNNNNNNNNNNNNNNNNNNNNNNNNNNNNNNNNNNNNNNNNNNNNNNNNNNNNNNNNNNNNNNNNNNNNNNNNNNNNNNNNNNNNNNNNNNNNNNNNNNNNNNNNNNNNNNNNNNNNNNNNNNNNNNNNNNNNNNNNNNNNNNNNNNNNNNNNNNNNNNNNNNNNNNNNNNNNNNNNNNNNNNNNNNNNNNNNNNNNNNNNNNNNNNNNNNNNNNNNNNNNNNNNNNNNNNNNNNNNNNNNNNNNNNNNNNNNNNNNNNNNNNNNNNNNNNNNNNNNNNNNNNNNNNNNNNNGCAGCCGCCCCGCUCGAGGGCGCUCGCCUCCGCCGCUGCCCCGACCAGCUCCCGCCGCCGCCGCUCGCAAGACCUCCUCACCGCCGGGUCCGCCUUCUCCGGCCACCUCCGGCCCCGUCUCCGGCGAGCCUCGUUCGCCGCGCCCCGGAUCUGGAUCUGGAAGACGAAGGUUGACCUCGUAAAACGACUAAGUCCAGAUAUAUUUUGACAUUAUCAUGCCAUGUUCAUCGCAUCAUAUCUCUGCAUCCGUAGCUCCGUUUUGGGCGUGUAGCAUAUCAAAUUGUUCGUCUCAAUGAGUACUUCAUUUCAUUCAAUUGCAUCAUGUUCAUUUGAGCUCAUCUUGAUGCCUGAAUCUUCGUUGCAAGAGUGCUAUAUGAUGUUGUCUGCUGUCUGUUAACAGAACAUGCUCAUUUGUCAUUUUUGCCAUGAUUGAUGUGUGCAUCCUAUGAGGUUGAUGUCUACAUGUGUUUUGAACUAUGUCCUAUCUUCUUUACAGAGGUGCUUACCAUGUAUUUUUGUGAUCUCUGUGGUGACUAGCACAAGCAUGCAAACUAGGCUUCGUGAUGUUGCUGAUUUUAGUCCCUGUUCUACUGUUAUUUUGAUGCCAUGUAAACAUGAUGCUACAGAGAGAUCCAUGCAUAUUUUGAGAUACUUAAGUAAGGAUGUUUUGAACAUAUGGUUAUUUUCUAUCCAUGUAUGCCCAUGUUUGUAAUUAUGGAGUAGUCUAGCAUGUCAUUUUGGUGUUCUACUUUUACUACAAAAUGUUUCCUGGCAGAUUGUUUACAUGUUAUUCAAUUUUGCCAAGGUUGUUGUAGUUGAUCCUUGCAUGCUAUGAACUUGUUCUUGCCUUGGUUUGUUUCAUAAACAUGUCUUCUUGCUUAUGCUAUGCUUAUCUUGUCAUGCAAUGACUUGUGGUGAGUGAAUCAAGCUUGUUAAGUAGUGUACUUGCUGUUACUGUUUUGCUAGGCUGAAUCUGUUAUUUCGUGAUGCUAUGUAAACGUGCUGCUACAAAUCAUUCUGUGCAUAAUCUGGAGAUGUUCACUAAGGGUGUUUUGUUCUACAUGUUAUGCACUAACCAUCCAUGCCCCUGGUUGCAUUUAUAGCUUGCUUUAACUUGUUGUUAUCUUGCUCCAAAGUUGCUAAAUAAUGUUGCUGUCAGCCUGUUAACAUUAAGUUCAGUUGUUGCCAUGAUUGUUUCUAGUGUUCCAUGUACCCUAUGAACUUGCUAUUGCCAUGCUUAGCUUCAUAAACAUGUCUUCUUACUGUUGGUUGCCUUGCCAUGCCAUGUAUUGCUCUGUGGUGAGUGGUACAAGCUCAUCAACAUGCCUACUUAUUGUUGUUCCUGCCAUGUAUGAAUCUGUAUUAUAACUUGCUAUGUUUACAUGGGUGCCAUCAUACCUUCUGAUCCUUUUUGGCUUAUGGUCAGUAAGGGACUUUUGUUCUUGCAAUUAGUAGAUUCAUGGCAUGCCUUUGUUUGCCAUGUUAAGUUUCUGUAACAUAUUGUUUGAUAGCUCUAAACAUUGCAACCUGAUGUUAUUUUCUGCAAAGUCUGAACUGUUAUUAUUUGCAAUCUUGUCAUGUGUGUUUGAGCAUGUUCUAGUGAUUUCUGGAGAUAGCUCAGUGUUCAUGUUUUGUUAUGCUUUACCUGUACAUCAUGUCCAUGCCUUUUGUUUUCUUGUUGAGGUCAUGUAGCAUAUUGUUUUGAUGCUUGCAAGAUGCCUAGUUGCUAUUUUGGACAGAUUGUUAUUAUAACUUGUAUAGUGUAUGUGUUGCACCGUUGCUCCGUUUUGAGUGUGCUCUAUAUGAAACUUGCUUGAAUUUGCAUGUAGCUUCAUAUUAUCAUGUUGCAUCCUUGUUUUGAGGUGUUUGCUUGAUGUUUGUAUGCAUUUUGCAUCAAUGCCAUGUUUAACUUGUUUUGCUCAUAUCUUCUAGGUCGUAGCUCCGAAUUAAAUGAACUUUAUAUGUAACUUGACUAGAAUCUCGUGUAGAUCAUCUUGGUGCAUCUUAACAUGCUGUUUACCAACUUGAACAUAAGGUUAAUUCAGAUCUGGUCCAAUUUCGAAAUUUGCAUAUGAGGACUUACCGGGAUUGUUAUAGGUUGUUCCCGGCCUCAUUUAAACUUGCCUUGAUGUGUUGCUCUUGUUUGCUUCAUCUCUUGCCAUGAGUAACUUCAUGUAGUUUUGUCAUGCAUCAUGCUUGUUGUGCAUCAUGUCUUGUAUAUGUGUGGUGUGUUUACCAUGUUGUGUGCUUCUUCUCGAUAGUUCCCAUUUCGUUGCGAUCGUGAGGAUUCGUUCGUCUACGCUUGGUUCGGCUUCAUCUGUUCGUCUUCUUCAUGAACUCGUUCUUCUUCCUUGCGGGAUUUCAGGCAAGAUGACUGCUACCCUGGAUCUCACUACUAUCAUUGCUAUGCUAGUUGCUUCGUUCUAUCGCCAUGCUGCGCUACCUAUCAUUUACUCUUCAAGCCUCCCAAAUUGCCAUGAACCUCUAACCUUUGACACCCUUCCUAGCAAACCAUUGCUUGGCUAUGUUACUGCUUUGCUCAGCCCUCUUAUAGCGUUGCUACUUGCAGGUGAAGUUGAAGAUUGCUCCAUGGUGAACAGGAUUAUGUUGGGAUAUCACAAUAUCUCUUAUUUAAUUAAUGCAUCUAUAUACUUGGUAAAGGGUGGAAGACUCGGCCUUAUGCCUGGUGUUUUGUUCCACUCUUGCCGCCCUAGUUUCCGUCAUACCGGUUGAGGGAGUCUUGGACUAGGGGGUGUCCGGAUAGCCGAACUAUCAUCAUCGGCCGGACUCCAAGACUAUGAAGAUACAAGAUUGAAGACUUCGUCUCGUGUCCGGAUGGGACUUUCCUUGGCGUCGAAGGCAAGCUUGGCGAUACAGAUAUGUAGAUCUCCUACCAUUGUAACCGACUCUGUGUAACCCUAGCCCUCUCCGGUGUCUAUAUAAAUCGGAUGGUUUUAGUCCAUAGGACGAACAACAAUCAUACCAUAGGCUAGCUUCAGGGUUUAGCCUCCUUGAUCUCAUGGUAGAUCUACUCUUGUAAUACCCACAUCAUCGAUAUCAAUCAAGCAGGACGUAGGGUUUUACCUCCAUCAAGAGGGCCCGAACCUGGGUAAAACAUCGUGUCCCUUGUCUCCUGUUACCAUCCGCCUAGACGCACAGUUUGGGACCCCCUACCCGAGAUCCGCCGUUUUUGAGCACAGUUUGGAACACUCGUGGCAUGGGGGCUGAAGCCGACAACUUGCCAUCUCUCAAAUUUGAGCACAUAUACUUGGUAAUACAACGGCCGCACAGAAGGUAAUAUUUUAAAUUAACAAGCGUUGCUUAGCACAUAUGAACAAAGUUUUCAGCGCACAGGAUAACAAAAUGCGAGUCUACUCAAAUAUUACAUCUUUGGAGCACUCACCCACAAUAAUGCGGGCACCCUUCAGGACACUCUUAUAAUACAUCUCGGGCGUGCGAUACUCCUUGCCCGGUGGUGGCACGUCCGUCACAAGCUUCUCAGCAUCCAUCUUGCCCCAUUGCACCUUUGCACGGGCAAGGGCCCGACGGGCACCUUCAAUACAAGCGGAGUGCUUGAUGACUUCAACCCAUGGACAAGCAUCCACCAGCCGCCGCACCAGCUGAAGUAGCUCCCAAGCAUGGCCUCAUUGGGCCACAGCCAAACUAUGAGGCCCUUCAUGGCCUGUUUGGCCACCUUAUGGAGCUCAACCAGCUGCUUCAGCUGGUCGCUAAGGGGCACCGGAUGUCCGACCUCAGCAUACUGAGACCAGAAGACCUUCUCCGUCGAGCUCCCCUCCUCGGCCCUGUAGAAAGCGGCAGCAUUGGACACGCUACGGGGCAGAUCUGUGAACGCUCCUGGAGAGCUCCGAAUUCGGGUAAGUAAUAGGUAAUUCACACUCACAUGCUUGCUUUGCAUGAAAAAUGCCUUACCCGCUGCUAUUUUCUUCAACGCCUCAAUUUCCUAGAGGGCCUUGUAGGCUUCGGCCUUAGCGGCUUUGGCACUCUCAAGAGUCGAUGCAAGCUCAGACUCUCGAGUCUUCGAGUCGCGCUCCAAACUCUCAUGUUUUUCCACGAGAGCCUGGAGCUCUUGCUGUACCUCCGCCACCCGCGCCUCCUGCUUCUCUCGCUCAGUGCGCUCCGCGGCCACAUUAUAUUCGGCCGCGGACACCGCCUCCUUCAGGGUCGCCACCUCGUUUGUGGCCCCUGCAAUACCCACGUUAUCCUUGUCAUUCUUCUUGCAACCAAAUCCUUUUCUGUAAGGUACAACUUUAAUAAGGUGUUACUCACCUUCCUUGUCCUCGAGCUGCUUCUUGACAUGGCCGAGCUCGUUCUCGGACCGCUCGAGGCUUUGCUUCAAAGUAUUGACCUCCGCAGUCAGUGCGGCAGAGGUCAGCCGCACAGCCUGCAACCCCAUAUUGACAUAUUUUUUAUGACUCAUGCGUAUAUCUUUUUAGAUCCUCAGUCCGGCUUUUCUUUCCGAACACCGAACCGAGCAUCAGGGGCUACUGUCUAUGCGGUACUAUUUUACAUAUAUCAAAAUUCUUACCUCAAAGCCUGUUAGAAGGCUGCUGCAGGCUUCGGUCAGCCCGCUCUUGGCAAGCUGAACCUUCUGAAUCACCGCACUCAUGACGGUGUGGUGUUCCUCUUUGAUGGAAGCGCCGUUGAGCGCCUCCAGCAAGCUAUCUGGCGCCUCUGGUUGGACGGAGGCCGCCGGCGUCACGGUCUUGCCCUUCUUACGAAGGGGCCGCUCGCCGGACUCCGGAACCACUACAGGUUCCGGUGCGGAGUCCAGUGCAAAGUCAGGGAGGUUGCCCUGCGGCACCUCCGGGGCCUCCUCCUCCUGGCGGGUCCCUUCCCGGGAUCCCACCUCGGCAUCGUCCACAUCACGGGGGGUGUAGGCGGUCAGAAGGGAAUCCAUAUCCGAUGCACCCAAGGACCCGCUCGACGAAGUGGGAAGAUCAUCCCUGGGCGGACUGCAGGGUUGUAUGCGGCAUUAGAAAGACACCAUGUGGCGAAAAGAAAAAUCAUGAAGUUAUUCGGGAGUCCGGAUACUUACGAUCUCGCUAGGGGCUUGGCCCUUGAAGGCCAGUCCUCGUCGUCAUCGCCGGCGUUGGCAGAGCAGUCCGGGGGAAGAGUCCUUCCCUUCUUGGACCCUUCGGCCUCCCUUGUUGGGGAGGCCUUUCUUUUCUUCCCUCCCCCCGCUGGGGGAGAGGCCUCUUUCUUCUCCUCCUCGCCCUCGUGGGAGGAGUCCGCCUUGGAGUCAUCGGACAAUGAGUCCGAUGACACGUGAAAACAGGAACUCUUUCGAGUGCCCGUGGCCUUCUUCUUGGCCUUCUUCUCCGGCACCACGUGGGGUGCCGGAACCAGCAGCCCCGUUAAGCGGGCGUCCGCUGGGUCUUCUGGCAAAGGGGCCGGACAGUUAGUCCGCUUGGCCUUCUUCAGCCAGUCCUGUCAAAGGAGAGGGAGUUUAAAUCCCGCAUAGAGUCAAACUAUGGAAAACAAGUGUCCCGUAAAGGGUAAAAUCGCUUACCUCGCUAGCCGGAUGCUGCGAGCUGAAUCUGCGAUCUUCGGUAGCGGAUGCAGGAGCCUCGACGCCCUUAAACAGCACCCUCCAGGCCUCUUUAUGCAUAGUGUCGAAGAGUCUGCUCAAAGUCUGGUGUUGCACCGAAUCGAACUCCCACAUAUUGAAGUCUCGUUGUUGGCACGGGAGAAUCCGGUGGAUGAGCAUGACCUGGACUAUGUUGACAAGCUUGAGCUUCUUGUUCACUAGCUUUUGGACGCAGGCUUGGAGUGCGGUCAGCUCCUCGAAUCACCCCAUGUUAGUCCACUCUCUUUCCAGGAGGUGAGCCAUAUGGGGAUGCCAGAUCUGAAUUCGGGGGCCGCUGCCCAUUCAGGGUCACGCGGCUCGGUGAUGUAGAACCACCCCGAUUGCCACCCCUUAAUGGUUUCCACGAAGGUGCCCUCGAGCCAAGUAAAGUUGGGCAUCUUGCCCACCAUGGCGCCUCCGCACUCCGCUUGGCUGCCCUUCACAACCUUCGGCUUGACACUGAAGGUCUUGAGCCACAAGCCGAAGUGGGGCUGGAUGCAGAGGAAGGCCUCACACACGAGAUAAACGCCGAGAUGUUGAGGAUGAAAUUCGGGGCCAGAUCAUGGAAAUCCAGGCCGUAGUAGAACAUGAGCCCCCGGACAAAGGGAUGGAGUGGGAAGCCCAGUCCGCGGAGGAAAUGGGAAAGGAAUACUACCCUCUCAUGGGGCCCGGGGGUGGGGAUGAGCUGCCCCUCGUCGGGGAGCCGGUGCGCGAUGUCGCUGGAUAGAUAUCCGGCGCUGCGCAGCUUCUUGAUGUGCCCCUCCGUAACGGAGGAGGCCAUCCACUUGCCUCCCGCUCCGGACAUAGUUGGAGAAGGUUGAGGUGAGAUGUGCGGACUUGGGCGCUGGAGCUCGAGUUCGCGGAGAUGGAUAAGCAAAGGAGGAAGAAGGCGUAGGUAAAAGGGUGGAUCUUUAUCCCCUUAUAUGGGCGGAUGAAACCAUGCGUCCCCACCGGCCUGAUAAAACUCACUUAUCUCCCAAGCACCGCGAUCAAUGGUGCGGUUGGGUUACCCACGUCUGUAUUGAUGGGAAUCCUGGUAUAAGGGGAACACGAUCUCUGCUUCGACGAGACGUGCCAAGGAAACUGCUUCGCUAAACGCGCUGAGGUGGUACAAUAAAAACAAUUCGAGUAAAGGCUUGGUUGUGGUAUGACGUCACGCCACAAAUACGUCAGUAGAUUGAAUUUGUGUAAAUAUUAUUCUCUCUACGGUGGUAUGUGGAAUUUAUUUUGCAGAGCCGGACACUAUCCUGGUGUUCACAAUCUUCUAUAAAUUGUUCGGAGGAGGAACCCGCCUUGCAAUGCCGAAGACAAUAUGCGUGCCGGACUCGUCGUCAUUGAAACCUGGUUCAGGGGCUACUGAGGGAGUCCUGGACUAGGGGGUGUCCGGAUAGCCGAACUAUCAUCAUCGGCCGGACUCCAAGACUAUGAAGAUACAAGAUUGAAGACUUCGUCCCGUGUCCGCAUGGGACUUUCCUUGGCGUGGAAGGCAAGCUUGGCGAUACGGAUAUGUAGAUCUCCUACCAUUGUAACCGACUCUGUGUAACCCUAGCCCUCUCCGGUGUCUAUAUAAACCGGAUGGUUUUAGUCCAUAAGACGAACAACAAUCAUACCAUAGGCUAGCUUCAGGGUUUAGCCUCCUUGAUCUCAUGGUAGAUCUACUCUUGUAAUACCCACAUCAUCGAUAUCAAUCAAGCAUGACGUAGGGGUUUACCUCCAUCAAGAGGGCCCGAACCUGGGUAAAACAUCGUGUCCCUUGUCUCAUGUUACCAUCCGCCUAGACGCACAGUUCGGGACCCCCUACCCGAGAUCCGCCGGUUUUGACACCGACACCGGUGUUAUGUUCCCGGAUUUUGCGUUCCUUAUGCGGUUGGGUGAUUUAUGGGACCCCCUUGACAGUUCGCUUUGAAUAAAACUCCUCCAGCAAGGCCCAACCUUGGUUUUACAUUUGCCUCACCUAGCCCUUUUUCCCUUGGGAGUCGCGCUCUCGAGGGUCAUCUUUAUUUUAUCCCCCCCGGGCCAGUGCUCGUCGUGAGUGUUGGUCCAACCUGUCAGCCGCCGGUGGCCACCAGGGGCAACUCUGGGCUGGCCUAUCGGAAGUUUGGACAAUCCGGUGUGCCCUGAGAAUGAGAUAUGUGCAGUCCUAUCAGGAUUUGUCGGCACAUUCGGGCGGCUUUGCUGGUCUUGUUUUACCAUUGUCGAAAUGUCUUGUAAACCGGGUUUCCGAGUCUGAUUGGGUCUUCCUGGGAGAAGGUAUAUCCUUCGUUGAUCGCGAGAGCUUAUCAUGGGCUAAGUUGGGACACCCCUGCAGGGUAUAAUCUUUCGAAAGCCGUGCCUGCGGUUAUAGGCAGAUGGGAAUUUGUUAAUGUCCGGCUGUAGAUAACUUGACACCAGAUCCGAAUUAAAACGCAUCAACCGCGCGUGUAGCCAUGAUGGUCUCUUUUCGGCAGAGUCCGGGAAGUGAACACGGUUUUUGGGUUAUGUUUGACGUAAGUAGGAGUUCAGGAUCACUUCUUGAUCAUUGCUAGCUUCACGACUGUUCCGCUUGCUCUCUUCUCGCUCUUAUUUGCGUAUGUUAGCCACUAUAUAUGCUUAGUCGCUGCUGCAGCCUCACCACUUUACCCCUUUCUUUCCCUUUAAGCUUUGCUAGUCUUGAUACCCAUGGUAAUGGGAUUGCUGAGUCCUCGUGGCUCACAGAUUACUACAACAACAGUUGCAGGUACAGGUUAUGCGAUGAUCAUGACACGAGAGUGAUGCUUGCGUGCGAUGAGUUCUUCUUCUGCUUCUUCGAUCAGGGGAUAGGUUCCAGGUCGGCAGCCUGUGCUAGCAGGGUGGAUGUCGUUUGAGUUUUUGUUUGUGUUUCAUCCGUAGUCGGAUGAUGCUCUAAUGUAUUGUGAUAUUGUAUUCGUGUGGAAUUGUAUGCCUCUUGUAUGUAUCCCCAUCUAUUAUGUAAUGUUGAUGUAAUGAUAUCCACCUUGCAAAAGCGUUUCAAUAUGCGGUUCUAUCCUUGGUGGGACCUUCGAGUCUCUUUAGGACAGUAUCGCAUAUUGGGCGUGAUAGAGAGGGCUGCACCAGGGGAAGGGUACAGCUGCCCUCUCUCUCCCUCACUAUAUAUAGGGGGGAGGGAGGAGGGGAGGCGCCCUAGGGUUCCCUGGGGGAGGGGCGGCGGCCACAGGGGAAACCCUAGAUGGGUUGGGUGCCCCCACCCCUAGGAAACUUGCCCCCCAAGCUGGGAGGGGCGGCUGCCCUAGGGGUGGCGCCCCCACCUCUCCUGGUUACGUGAGAUGGGGUGGGAGGGGCGCUCAUCCCCUUAGUGGGAUGAUGUGCCCCUCCCCUUGGCCCAUAAGGCCCCCCAACGCUUGCUGGGGCCUCCGAAACCCCUUUCGGACACGCUGGUCAUCACCUGAUACCCUCGGAACAAUUCCGGACUCCAAUACCCUUCGUCCAAUAUACCGAUCUUCACCUCCGGACCAUUCCGGAUCUCCUCGUCACGUCUGGGAUCUCAUCCAGGACUCCGAACAUCCUUCGUUAACCACAUACUAUUUCUCAUAACAACUCUAGCGUCACCGAACCUUAAGUGUGUAGACCCUACGGGUUCGGGAACCAUGUAGACAUGACCGAGACGUUCUCCGGUCAAUAACCAACAGGGGAUCUGGAUACCCAUGUUGGCUCCCACAUGUUCCAUGAUGAUCUCAUCGGAUGAACCACGAUGUCAAGGAUUCAAGCAAUCCCGUAUGCAAUUCCCUUUGUCAAUCGGUAUGUUAUUUGCCUGAGAUUCGAUCGUCGGUAUCCCAAUACCUCGUUCAAUCUCGUUACCGGCAAGUCACUUUACUCGUUCCAUAAUGCAUGAUCCCGUGACUAACUACUUAGUCACAUUGAGCUCAUUAUGAUGAUGCAUUACCGAGUGGGCCCAGAGAUACCUCUCCAUCAUACGGAGUGACAAAUCCCAGUCUCGAUUCGUGCCAACCCAACAGACACUUUCGGAGAUACCUGUAGUGCACCUUUAUAGCCACCCAGUUACGUUGUGAUGUUUGGCACACCCAAAGCAUUCCUACGGUAUCCGGGAGUUGCACAAUCUUAUGGUCUAAGGAAAUGAUACUUGACAUUAGAAAAGCUUUAGCAAACGAACUACACGAUCUUGUGGUAUGCUUAGGAUUGGGUCUUGUCCAUCACAUCAUUCUCCUAAUGAUGUGAUCCCGUUAUCAAUGACAUCUAAUGUCCAUGGUUAGGAAACCAUAACCAUCUAUUGAUCAACGAGCUAGUCAACUAGAGGCUCACUAGGGACAUGUUGGGGUCUAUGUAUUCACACAUGUAUUACGGUUUCCAGUUAAUACAAUUAUAGCAUGAACAAUCAUGAACAAGGAAAUACAAUAAUAACCAUUUUAUUAUUGCCUCUAGGGCAUAUUUCCAACAGUCUCCCACUUGCACUAGAGUCAAUAAUCUAGUUCACAUCACUAUGUGAUUGUAAUGAAUCAACACCCAUGGGGUUUGAUCAUAUCUCGCUUGUGAGAGAGGUUAUUAGUCAAUGGAUCUGAACCUUUCAGGUCCGUGUGUGCUUUGCAAAUCUCUAUGUCAUCUCCUAGAUGCAACUACCACGCUCUAUUUGGAGCUAUUCCAAAUAACUGUUCUACUAUACGAAUCCGGUUUACUACUCAGAAUAAUCCAGAUUAGUGUCAAAGUUUGCAUCAGCGUAACCCUUUAUGACGAACUCUUUUACCACCUCCAUAAUCAAGAAAAUUCCUUAGUCCACUAGUUACUAAGGAUAACCUUGACUGUUGUCCUGUGAUCCAUUCCUGGAUCACACUUGUACCCCUUGACUGACUCAUGGCAAUGCACACUUCAGGUGCAGUACACAGCAUAGCAUACUGUAGAGCCUACAUCUAAAGCAUACGGGACGACCUUCGUCCUUUCUCUCUUUUCUGCUGUGGUCAGGUCUCGAGUCUUUCUAAAUACUCAUACCUUAUAACAUAGCCAAGAACUCCUUCUUUGCCGAUCUAUUUUGAACUCCUUCAAAAUCUUGUCAUGGUAUGUAUUUAUUUGAAAGUACUAUUAAGCGUUUUUAUCUAUCUUUAUAGAUCUUGAUGAUCAAUGUUCAAGUAGCUUAAUCCAGGUUUUCCAUUGAAAAACACUUUUCAAAUAACCCUAUAUGUUGUCUAGAAAUUCUACAUCAUUUCUGAUCAACAAUAUGUCAAUAACAUAUACUCAUCAGAAAUUCUAUAGUGCACCCACUCACUUCUUUGGAAAUACAAGUUUCUCAUAAACAUUAUAUAAACCCAAAAUCUUUGAUCAUCUCAUCAAAGCGUAUAUUCCAACUCCAAGAUGCUUACUCUAGUCCUUAGAAGGAUUGCUGGAGCUUUGCAUACUUGUUAGCAUCUUUCAAGAUUGACAAAACCUUCUGGUUGUAUCACAUACAACCUUUCCUCAAGAAUAUCGUCGAGGAAAUAAUGUUUUUGACAUCCUAUCUGCAAGAUUUCAUAAAUCAUGCAGUAAUUGCUAAUAUAAUUCCAACAGACUCUUAGCAUCGCUACGAGUGAGAAAGUCUCAUCGUAGUCAACUCCUUGAACUUGUCGGAAAACAUCUUAACGACAAGUCGAGCUUUCUUAAUGGUGAUACUUACCAUCAUUGUCCGUCUUCCUUUUAAAAUCCAUCUGUACCCAACAGCCUUACGACCAUCAAGUAGUUCUUCCAAAGUCUACACUUUGUUUUCAUACAUGGAUCCUCUCUCGGAUUUUAUGGCCUCGAGCCAUUUGUCGGAAUCCGGGCCCUAUUGGAAAUAUGCCCUAGAGGCAAUAAUAAAUUAGUUAUUAUUAUUAUAUUUCCUUAUUCAUGAUAAUCGUUUAUUAUCCAUGCUAGAAUUGUAUUGAUAGGAAACUCAGAUACAUGUGUGGAUACAUAGACAACACCAUGUCCCUAGUAAGCCUCUAGUUGACUAGCUCGUUGAUCAAUAGAUGGUUACGGUUUCCUGACCAUGGACAUUGGAUGUCAUUGAUAACAGGAUCACAUCAUUAGGAGAAUGAUGUGAUGGACAAGACCCAAUCCUAAGCCUAGCACAAGAUCGUGUAGUUCGUAUGCUGAAGCUUUUCUAAAUGUCAAGUAUCUUUUCCUUAGACCAUGAGAUUGUGCAACUCCCGGAUACCGUAGGAAUGCUUUGGGUGUACCAAACGUCACAACGUAACUGGGUGGCUAUAAAGGUGCACUACGGGUAUCUCCGAAAGUGUCUGUUGGGUUGGCACGAAUAGAGACUGGGUUUGUCACUCCGUGUGACGGAUAGGUAUCUCUGGGCCCACUCGGUAGGACAUCAUCAUAAUGUGCACAAUGAGAUCAAGGAGUUGAUCGCGGGAUGAUGUGUUACGAAAUGAGUAAAGAGACUUGCCGGUAACGAGAUUGAACAAGGUAUCGGGAUACCGACGAUCGAAUCUUGGGAAAGUAUCAUACCAGUAGACAAAGGGAAUUGUAUACGGGAUUGAUUGAAUCCUUGACAUCGUGGUUCAUCCGAUGAGAUCAUCGUGGAACAUGUGGGAGCCAACAUGGGUAUCCAGAUCCCGCUGUUGGUUAUUGACCAGAGAGAUGUCUCGGUCAUGUUUGCAUGAUUCCCGAGCCCGUAGGGUCUACACACUUAAGGUUCGAUGAUGCUGGGGUUAUAGGGAAGGUAUGUACGCGGUUACCGAAUGUUGUUCGGAGUCCCGGAUGAGAUCCCAGACGUCAUGAGGAGUCCCGGAAUGGUCCGGAGGUGAAGAUUGAUAUAUUGGACGAAGGGUUUUGGAGUCCGGAAGUGUUCCGGAGGUACCGGGUGAUGACUAGCAUGACCGAAAGGUAUUUCGGGAGCCCCGUCAAGUGUUGGGGGGGGCUUCAUGGUCCAAGGGAAGGGGGGCAAACCAGCCCACUAAGGGGCUGUGCGCCCCCCUCACCUAUUCCCACGUGACCAGGGGGUUUUGGGGCACCCCAUCUAGGGUUCCCACCUCCUGGCUUGGGGCCAAGUCACCCAAAGGGGAGAUCCCAUCUGCCCUGGCCGCCGCCCCCCCUAGGGGAAACCCUAGGGUGCCUCCCCCUCCCCCUUGCCCCUAUAUAUAGUGGAGGUUUUGGGGCUGCCCAACACACGAGUCUCUCUCUCCCAAGGCGCAACCCUACCUCUCUCCCUCCUCGUCUCUCGUAGUGCUUGGCGAAGCCCUGCUGGAGUACCGCGCUCCUCCACCACCACCAUGCCGUUGUGCUGCUACUAGACGGAGUCUUCCCCAACCUCUCCCUCUCUCCUUGCUGGAUCAAGGCACGGGAGACGUCAUCGGACUGCACGUGUGUUGAACAUGGAGGCGCCGUUGUUCGGCGCUUAGAUCAGAAUCGACCGCGAUCUGAAUCGCCACGAGUACGACUACCUCAUUCACGUUCUUGCAACGCUUCCGCUUAGCGAUCUACAAGGGUAUGUAUAUGCACUCCCCUUCCCCUUAUUGCUAGAUUACUCCAUAGAUUGAUCUUGGUGAUGCGUAGAAAAUUUUAAAUUUCUGCUAUGAUCCCCAACAGUGGUAUCAGAGCUAGGUUUAUGCGUAGUUUCUAUGCACGAGUAGAACACAAGUUGUUGUGGGCGUCGAUUUUGUCAAUUUACUUGCUGUUACUAGUCUUAUCUUGAUUCGGCGGCAUCGUGGGAUGAAGCGGCCCGGACCGACCUUACACGUACUCUUACACGAGACAGGUUCCGCCGAUUGACAUGCACUAGUUGCAUAAGGUGGCUAGCGGGUGUCUGUCUCUCCCACUUUAGUCAUAUCGUAUUUGAUGAAAAGGGUCCUUAUGAAGGGUAAAUAGAAAUUGGCAUAUCACGUUGUGGUUUUGGCAUAGGUAAGAAACGUUCUUGCUAAGAAACCUAUAGCAGCCACGUAAAAAUUUGCAACAACAAUUAGAUGACGUCUAACUUGUUUUUGCAGCAUAUGUCGUGUGAUGUGAUAUGGCCAAAAGGAUGUGAUGAAUGAUAUAUAUGUGAUGUAUGAGAUUGAUCAUGUUCUUGUAAUAAGAAUCACGACUUGCAUGUCGAUGAGUGUGACAACCGGCAGGAGCCAUAGGAGUUGUCUUAUUUUAUUGUAUGACAUGCGUGUCACUGAAAACGCCAUGUAAUUACUUUACUUUAUUUCUAACCGUUAGCCAUAGUACUAGAAGUAAUGUUUGGCGAGACGACUUCAUGAAGACACGAUGAUGGAAAUCAUGAUGAUGGAGAUCAUGGUGUCAUGCCGGUGAGAUGAUGAUCAUGGAGUCCCGAAGAUGAAGAUCAAAAGGAUCAAAAUGAUAUUGGCCAUAUCAUGUCACUAUUUGAUUGCAUGUGAUGUUUAUCAUGUUUUACAUCUUAUUUUCUUAGAACGACGGUAGUAAAUAAGAUGAUCUCUCACUAAAAUUUCAAGAAUUGUGUUUCCCCUAACUGUGCACCGUUGCUAAGGUUCGUUUUUCUGAAGCACCACGUGAUGAUCGGGUGUGAUAGGUUCUAACGUUCGCAUACAACGGGUGUAAGCCAGAUUUACACACGCAAUACACUUAGGUUGACUUGACGAGCCUAGCAUGUACAGACAUGGCCUUGGAACAUGGAAGACCGAAAGGUCGAACAUGAGUCGUAUAGAAGAUACGAUCAACAUAAAGAUGUUCAUCGUUGAUAACUAGUCCGUCCCACGUGAUGAUCGGACACGGCCUAGUUGACUUGGAUCAUGUAUCACUUAGAUGACUAGAGGGAUGUCUACCUGAGUGUGAGUUCAUUAUAUAAUUUGAUUAGAUGAACUUAUUUAUCAUGAACAAUAGUCUAAGUUGUCUUUGCACAAAAAGGUUGUAGAUCAAUAGCUCACGUUGUAGCUCCCUGUUUCAAUAUGUUCCUAGAGAAAGAUUAAGUUGAAAGAUAUUGUAAGAAAUGAUGCGGACUAGGUCCAUUGCCUGAGGAGUGUUCUCACUGCUACACAGAAGGCUUAUGUCUUUGAUGCACCGCUCGGUGUGCCAACCCCUCCAGCGUCGUCUGUGGAUGUUAUGAACAUCUGACAGAUACAUCCUGGUGACUACUUGAUAGUUAAGUGCACCAUACUUUACGGCUUAGAAUCGGGAUUCCAAUGACAUUUUCAACGCCAUAGAACAUAUGAGAUGUUCCAAGAGCUGAAAUUGGGAUUCCAGGCUCAUGCCCGUGUUGAGAGGUAUGAGACCUCUGACAAGUUCUUUGCCUACAAGAUGGAGGAGAAUGUCUCAACUAGUGAGCAUGUGCUCAGAAUGUCUGGGUGCUAAGAUCACUUGAACCAAGUGGGAGUUAAUCUUCCAGAUGAGAUAGUGGUUGCCGAAAUUCUCUAGACACUAUCAACAAGCUACUAGAACUUCGUGAUGAACUAUGACAUGCAAAGGAUGGAGAUGAUCCCGGAGCUAUUAGCGGUGCUUAAAACCGCAAAAGUAGAAAUCAAGAAGGAGCAUCAAGUGUUGAUGGUUUAUCAAGACCACUGGUUUCAAAAGGGGCAAGGGCUAGAAGGGAAACUUCAUGAAUGACAAACCAGUUGUCGCUCUAAUGAAGGAACCCAAGGUUGAACCCAAACCUCGAGACUAAGUGCUUCUAUUGUAAGGGGAACGGUCACAUGGUAGCGGAACUACCCCAAAUACAUGGUAGAUAAGAAAGCUGGCAACUUCAACAAAGUAUAUUUGAUAUACGUGUUAUUGAUGUGUACCUUACUAGUACUCCUAGUAGUACCUGGGUAUUGGAUACCGGUUCAGUUGCUAUUAUUGGUGACUUGAAGCAAAAGCUACGGACUGAACGGAGACUAGCUAAGGGCGAGGUGACGAUGUGUGUUGGAAGUGUUUCCAAGGUUGAUAAGAUCACCAUCGCACGCUCCCUCUACCUUCGGGAUUAGUGUUGAACCUAAAUAAAUGUUAUCAGGUGUCUACGUUGAGCAUGAAUAUGAUUAGAUCAUGUUCAUAGCAAUACGGUUAUUCAUUUAAGUUAGAGAAUAAUGGUUAUUCUUUUUACAGGAAUAAUACCUUUAUGGUCAUGCACCCAAUGGUUUAUUGAAUCUCGAUCAUAGUAAUACACAUGAUAAUAAUACUAACGCCAAAAGAUGUAGAGUUAAUAAUGAUAGUACCACUUUCUUGUGGCACUGCCGCUUAGGUCAUUUUGGCAUAAAAUGCGUGAAGAAACUCCAUGCUGAUGGAUGUUUGGAGUCACUUGAUUUUGAAUCGCUUGACACAUGCGAGCCAUGCCUCAUGGGCAGGAUGACUAAGAUCCCGUUUUCAGGUACAAUGAAAUGGGCAAGUGACUUGUUGGAAAUCAUACAUUCUAAUGUGUGUGAUCCAAUGAGAAUUAAGGUGUGUGGUGGAUAUCGUUAUUUUCUCAUCUUCACUAACAAUUUGAGUAGAUAUGGGUAUAUUUACUUAAUGAAGCAAAAGUUUGAAACGUUUGAAAAGGUUCAAGAAAUUUCAGAGUGAAGUUAAGAAUCAUCAUAACAAGAAGAUCAUGUUCCUACAAUCUGAUCAAGGGGAGAUUUUCUGAGUUAUGAGUUUGGCAAUCACUUAAGACAUUGUGGAAUUGUUUCGCAGUUGAAGCCACCUGGAACACCACAGCGUAAUGGUGUGUCCGGACGUCAUAAUUGAACCUUAUGAGAUAUGGUGCGAUCUAUGAUGUCUCUUACCGAUCUACCGCUAUUAUUUCGAGGUUAUGCAUUAGAGACAGCUGCAUUCACUUUAGAUAGGGCACCAUCUAAGUCCAUUGAGACGACGUCGUAUGAAAAUUGGUUUGGCAAGAAACCAAAGUUGUCGUUUCUUAAUAUUUCGUGCUGCGAUGCUUAAGGCUUCACCCGGAAAAGCUCGAACCCAAAGCGGACAAAUACAUCUUCAUAGGAUACCCAAAGGUAAUAGUUGGGUAUACCUUCUAUCUCAGAUCCGAGGGCAAAGUGUUUGUCGCUAAGAACGGGUCCUUUCUCGAGAAGGAGUUUCUCUCGAAAGAAUUGAGUAGGAGGAAGAUAGAACUUGAUGAGGUUGUCGAACCCUCACUUCAACCGGAGAGUAGUGCAACACAGAAAGAUGUUUUUGUGGAACCUACGACUGUUGAAGAGGAAACUAAUGAUAGUGAUCAUGAAGCUUCGGAUCAAGUUGCUAUCAAACCUCGUAGGUCGACAAGGAUAUGUACUACGCCUGAGUGGUACGGUGAUCCUGUCUUAGAGGUCAUGUUGCUGGACAACAAUGAACCUACGAACUAUGGAGAAGCGCUGGUGGGCCCGUAUUCCGACAAAUGGUUAGAAUCGGAGAAAUGCGAGAUAGGAUCCAUGUAUCAAAACAAAGUAUGGACUUUGGUGGACUUGCUCGAUGAUCAGCAAGCCAAUGAGAUAAAUGGAUCUUUAAGAAGAAGACAUACGUGGACGGUAAUGUCACCGUCUAUGAGGCUCGACUUGUGGUGAAGAGUUUUUCACAAGUUCAAGGAGUUGACUACGAUGAGAUUUUCUCAUCCGUAGCGAUACUUAAGUCCGUCGGAAUCAUGUUAGCAUUAGUUGCAUUUAUGAAAUCUGGCAGAUGGAUGUCAAAACAAGUUUCCUUACUAGUUUUCGUAAGGAAAGGUUGUAUGUGAUACAAUCAGAAAGGUUUUGUCGAUCCUAAGGAUGCUAAAAGGUAUGCCAGCUCCAGCGAUCCUUCUAUGGACUAGAGCAAGCAUCUCAGAGUCGGAAUAUAUGCUUUGAUGGAGUGAUCAAAGCUUUUAGGUUCAUACAAUGUUUGCUAGAAACUUGUAUUUACAAGAAAGUGAGUGGGAGCGCUACAACAUUUCUGAUAAGUAUAUGUGGAUGACAUAUUGUUGAUCCGAAAUAAUGUAGAAUUUCUGGAAAGCAUAAACGGUUGUUUGAAGAAUUAUUUUCAAAGGAAGACCUGGAUAAAGCUGCUUACAUAUUGGGCAUCAAGAUCUAUAGAGAUAGAUCAAGAUGCCUGAUGAUACUUUCAAAGAACACACACCUUGACAUGAUUUUGAAGGAGUUCAAAAUAGAUCAGUCAAAGAAGGUAUUCUUACCUGAGUUGUAAGGUGUGAAGUUGAGUAAGACUCAAAGCUUGACCACGGCAGAAAAAAGAGGAAGGACGAAGGUCGAACCUAUGCUUUUGUCAUAGGCUCUAUACGGUAUGUGUGACGCCCUCGAUUCAAUCGUACACUAAUCAUACACGCAAAUGUGUACGAUCAAGAUCAAGGACUCACAGGAAGAUAUCACAACACAACUCUAGACACAUAUUAAAAUAAUACAAGCUUUAUAUUACAAGCCAGGGGCCUCGAGGGCUCGAAUACAUAAGCUCGAAUACACAAGAGUCAGCGGAAGCAACAAUAUCUGAGUACAGACAUAAGUUAGACAAGUUUGCCUUAAGAAGGCUAGCAUAAAAGCAUCUACAAUCAAAAAGGCAAGGCCUCCUGCCUGGGAGCCUCCUAACUACUCCUGGUCGUCGGCGUCCUCCACGUAGUAGUAGGCACCCUCGGGGUAGUAGUAGUCAUCGUCAAAGGUGGCGUCUGGAUCCUAGGCUCCGACAUCUGGUUACAUCAACCGGAAAGAAGAAGAAAGGGGGAAAAGGGGGAGCAAAGCAACCGUGAGAAAUCAUCCAAAGUACUCACAAGCAAGGAUCUACACUACAUAUGCAACAUUAUCAAAGAGGGGUUGUAUAUGUGGACUUGGCUGCAGAAAUGCCAGAAUAGAGAGAAGGCCCAGUCCUAUCGAAGACUAGCAUCUUCGGGAAACCACCAUCUUGCAGCAAACAGGAGGGAGUAGAGUAGCAUAAAGUAAAGUAGUAGUAGUGUUAUCAACCUCGGCCAGAGAUCCUUUCUCGACUCCCUGUGAGAAAGCAAUCCCAGAGCCAUACUAUCCAAUUGUCAUCACAAUCCAAUUCUCAUCACCAUCCAAUUCUCAUCACAAGUAUCCAGUUCUAGUUGUAUCGAUUGGGAUACAACUCUGAGUGUCCGUUACCGUAGGACAGGCUAUCGAUAGAUGUUUUCUUCCCUGCAGGGGUGCACCAACUUACCCACCACGCUCGAUUAACUCCGGCCGGACACACUUUCCUGGGUCAUGCCCGGCCUCGGCCAAACAAUACGCCGCAACCCGACCUAGCCUUAAUAGAGAGGUCAGCACGCCGGACUAAACCUAUGCCCCCAGGGGUCAUGGGCCAUCGCCCCGGGAACUCCUGCAUGUUGCGAGGGCGGCCGGUGAGCAGACCUAGCUACCUCCCUAAAAAGGCAGGUGCUUACUAGUCCAACCCGGCGCGCGCUGCUCAGUCGCUGAUGUCUAUUAAGCUUCGGCUGAUGCAUACGACGCAGAACGCCCAUACUAUGCCCACAUGAUGGUUAGUGAUAUCAGGCCAGAGGCCCCACGGAUCAAAUAUCCAAAUCAUAGUGGAUUAGGAGCACGCGAUAACAAGCAGAGACUCACGAAAUAUGUGACCCCAUUGCCCCGUCUCGAGGACUUGCGGCAAGGGCUAAGAAUGCCCGGCCACACCUCGUAUUCAACUCUCGGGUACCCUCCAGGUCAACCCAUCUCCACAUCACUCGCAAUUAUGCUCGCGCGGGUACCCCUCAGGGUCGACCCGUCUUUAGUAACAUGGUUCAGUGUAAAGUCAUAGUAAUCAUAGUAACCGUGUGUCUAAACAUCAAGGGGAAAACCCCGAGGAAUCACUGCUGAAUUCCACUUGAUGUAAUCAUCAAGGUGAACGUAAGAGGAAUCACCCCCGAGGUUCACACUUGAGGGGUUGCACGACAGAGUCGUAUCGGAAGUGGUUAAGGCGGAAUCACCCUCGAUGACCAUGACCGAAUGGCUACACUACAGGGUUAACAUUAGAAGUGUUGUAGAGGUCUCACCCUCGGCACUCGAUAGUAACCCAGCAGUGUCGAGCAACUAAGGAGGAAGUGAUGUGCGGUGCCGGGGCCUGGUCUUCGAUCCCGUUGAUCGGGUCUUCGAUGAUGAAGCAGGGGCAACAAGGACAAGGUGGAGGUACCUGAUGGAUCACUAACCAACCUAUACUAAGCAGUUUAGGAUAAUCAGGUAAUGUACAACAACAGAUACAAAAGCAGGCUAUGCAUCAGAAUAGGAGCAAACAAUAACAGUAGCAAAAUCUAAUGCAAGCAUGAGAGAAUGGAAUGGGCGAUAUCGGGAUGAUCAAAGGGGGGGGGGCUUGCCUGGUUGCUCUGGCAAGGAGGGGUCGUCGGUCGACAUAGUCGAUCACAGGGGCAGCAUCGGUCUCGGGGUCUACCGGAGAGAAGAGAGGGAAGAAACAGUAAAUAUAAAGCAAACAUAGCAUAACAGGACAACAAGCAGAGCUAGACGUGUUAUAACGUGGUGCUACACGAUACCGGCGAGGGGGGAAGUCAACCAGGAAUGUUUUCCCGGUUUCGGACCUGUGUUAGACAGUUGACCGGAGGGGGGAAGUUCCAUGUUCAGCAUGAUAGGGGCAUGUGACAGAUGAACGGACCGCAUAUUCGGAUUCGUCACGUUUUUCUAAGCAACUUUCAUGUAGAAAACAUUUUCAUCGAAGUUACAGUUUAAUUUAUAUGAUUUUUCAAAGAUUAAACCAUACUCUGGAAUUAUUUAUAUUAACAUACAUGGAAUAUGACGUCAACAUGACGUAGGAGUGACGUCAGCAGUCAAUAGUCCGGUUGACUGGUCAAAACUAACAUGGGGGACCCACCUGUCAUAGACAUUGGGUUAAAUAGGGUUUAAACUAAUCUAAAUUUAGGUAGUAAAACUACUGGGCCCACCUGUCAGUGUCUAAUUAACUAAUCUAAUUAGUUUUAAUUAUUAAAAUGUUUUAAUUAGAGGAUUAAGCGGUGGGACCCGCACGUCAGUGGCUGGGGCCUGCCCAGUCAGCACUAUUGACCUGGUCAACUGGUCAACAGGGGGCCAGGGGCCCCACUGGCAGUGACCCAGGGGGUGGCCCCGGGUGUGCCACGUUGGCGGUGGCCGGCGGCUUGACACCGGCGAUGCCAAAACGCGGCGGAGGGCCUCGGGCCUCGUCGGAUUUCGCCUAUGGGCAACCGUUUCGCGCGCGCAAGGGCGCGUUCGAACGAGCGGAGCAGCGCAUGUCGGACUGCGGUGUUGGCCCGACCGGAAACACACUAAAACAACAGCGGCGCGCACCGCGGUGGUCGCCGGAGUUCAAGCAAACCCGCGGUCGGCGCUAGAGGCUACGGGGAAGGGACCUAGCAGCACGGGCGGAUGCGGAGGUGGCCUGAGCACUCUCGAGUGCUCGGGUGAGCAUGACGAUGCCCAUGGCGACGGUGGUGAGCUAUGCGGCGGAGCUGAGCUCGGCCCUGGCGGACGCGGUAGCUACGGGAGUGCAAGAGGCCAGGGGAGCAAGGGAAGGGGAAGAGGGGCUCACUUUGCGGCACGCACGGUGGCCCUCGGAGGUUUAGUAGCAGCAGAGACGGCACUGGAGACGAAGGAAAUUGACGGCAGCCGGAGAUGGGGACGACGAUGAACGGCGGCUGUGGUGCUUCCCGGUUCCAGCGAAGGGCGCCAGUCGAAGGAGCCGACCCUGGCGAAGCUCACCGACAGGGUCAGCGGGCGUGGGGCCGCUGGUGGCCGUGACAACGACGAAGGGCGGCGACGACUGCGCUCGGAGGUGGACGGGGAACGAGGGGGGAGGCGAGGAGGAAUCUAGUGGGAGAGGGAGAGGUGGAGCGGCAAGUGGGGGUAGCUGGGGAGGAGGACGAGGCAUCGAGGGGGGGCGCAGAGGCCUUAUACUCUCGUGGAGACGUCGACGGCGAGGUGGUUCGGCAGCGACGGGCGCGCUCUGCCUUGCCCGGUCGGAGUAAUAGGAGGGAGGCACGCUUCGGGGAGCUGGGCCGGCCAGGCUGGGUGAGGUGGGUCAGCCUGCUGGGAUGGGCCGAAGCCCAAGGGGAGGCCAGGGGCUCUCCCACCCCUUCUUCUUUCCUUUUUUUGGUUUUUUUCCAGCAGCUGCCUUUUCUUUUUAGCCAAUAAUGACUUUGCAAAAUUACGCCAUUGGCCAAAACAAUUUAAAAGAAUUAAAGUGCACUGCCACAAAAAGGUUGGGAGGCUUUUGGAAUAGUUGCCAAUUUUAUAAAUUAAAAAGGGCAUUUAAUUUAUUGCUUAGGUCACUGUUUUAAGUAGCUUAGGCCACUUAAACCUUUGCAAAAAUGUUGGUUCACCACCAAUAUUAACAAAUGACUAUUUGCCAGAAGAUGAACAUUUUAGAUCUCCUGUCUGACAAAUAAGAGUUUUUGACUUUAGAUUGGAUUUGAAUUUGAAUAGGUGAUUUGGAUCAAGUGAAGAUUAGCAACAGUAACAAUGAUGACAAGGCAUCAUUAGAAGGGGAUUACUGUAGCAUGAUUCUCGGGGUUUUACAAAUCUCCUCCACUACAAGAAAUCUCGUCCCGAGAUUUAAGAGGCGGAGUAAGGGAGAUAGACUCGGGAAGGACGGAGCUCAACACAAGAUAGGUACCUGGGGGCUAUCUCAGUGAGCGUGGCAUAGAGGCAUCUCUCAAGUUGAAAUCCAAGAAAGUCAUCGAGAGCAAGGUAAUAAGGUGCAAUAAGAAGCUUCAACUUGGUAGGCAAUCAUUCGUUGCCUGGAACAAAGGCUGAAAGGGGUUCAGAGCAAUGGUAAUAAGUAUUGUGUCUGAUACCAGAAUAGAUCGCCUCUCGGAAGGCGGCUCGGGAUUUUCAUAUGAAGCCAAGCGUGAGAAAUAACCUUAGAAACAAGGGUGUACAGGAGAGUCAGGUUUCGAUCUUGUGGAACUGUGGGUUAUGGGCCCAAUAUGUGGGUUAAAAGCAGGAAGGCGUUAACAUCUUGAAUGGUCAUGAUAGCAAGGCAGGUCAGAGGAUAGUCUGUCAGUUAUGUUUGCAACAAAGUUUGGUACCAAGGGCGUGGGACGAAGAGAACCAUUUUCCUGCUCAUAAGACGAGGUGGACCAAUCGGCAAAGUUCUCAUCCAACGGUGGUUACUGGAAUGUCAUCAACAAUAGUAACAGGGUCUUACUGACAUUGUUGUACACCGAGGUGCCUACUUAAGCAGGGAUUUAUCUCUGGUCAGACAAGUUAGAUCACAAGAAAGGUUAAACAAAACAAUGGAAAGGAAAAUGUGAUUAUCAGAUUAAAUAGACCAGUGGCAAGGAAAAUGUGUUUAUACCCAAGUGUUAGAGUAUAACUUUCCUAAGGAAAGGCAGAGCAUGAUAGGGCUCCAAGUAUUAAGCCGUUUAGACAAAGGGGCAAGGAAUUUAUGAGGUUUACCCAUACAAUGGUGUUUGGAUAAUUGAUCAAGAAUAGUUAGCAUUGCGCUCCCAAUGUUCUUGUUGAUGAUCGGAGUACCACACACAUGCUUCAGGAUAGUGUUGACAUGGUCAUCGGGGAAAGUUCAGACUUCGGAUACAUAAAGGAUCCAUCGGAACAACUUAUAAAAUAAGUCAUACAAUUUCAGCAAGAAAAAUGAUUUUGUGGCCGGUGGGCUCAGGAACAAUUCAUCAAGGGGCAAGGAUGGUAUUACUCAUCAGGAAUUCGAUUGAUAUCCUGAAACAACUCAGAAUGUUGGUGAUGAUCAUGACACAUCUGUCGAGAGAUUUCAUGAAGAUGUAAUCGAUCAGCGAUGACAUCACGUCAAAGGGAUGAUGAAGCGAAAGGUUAUUGGUACCAUGGGUACGACACAAACUCGAAAGCAAGCUUGCUGUUCACGGCGAAAUGAUAUGAUGAGGAAGGUCAACGUAAGCUUAGCUCAUCAUUGAAAGUUGUGUUCCGGGAAUAAGGACCGGGUAGCACAGUUAAAAUUAGCACGAUAAUGAUAUACCCGAUCAGGCUAGGAAUGACUUGAAGGAUUAUUUAACUCGUAAGCAACAAAUAUUACUUAGAAUUAUUGAUUUGGUGCAGGAUCGAUUCACUUAUCGGUGUUCUUGAGUGGCUAAUAAAUCAGAACCCAAGGGAAAUAUGAAAAGCAAUACUAGAUGAAGACUCAUAGGAAGCAACAUAGUUCUUUGAUAUUCUCGAGAUACCAGGGGUAAUACUCGAAGGUAGAUCAUAAUAGAGGUUGGGCAGGUGUAUUGACCUGUAGAAGACAAGUGAUUUAACUUGUCCGCGAAAUGGAGUUAAGGAGAAACUAUGGUCGGAACCACGAUUAUGAAUGAUCAAUCCACCGAUACAAGAUGAACUUAUAACAAGGGGUAAUUAUUUUUACGAGCAGCUUCCAUGAUAAGUUCUACAUCGGUUCCAUGGGCAUGAACACAAAGGUUCAAGGUCGAAUCCCACUUCUUCAAUGCAUAACCUUUCAUUCACUCCUCGUUUUUGAAGAAUUUGUAGUGCGAAAGAUUUACCUGGUGAAGCACCAGAAGAGUAUGACUCACAUCUCUUUCGAGUUCACAUGGAUUGGUGAAGGCAUAGGUUCAACCCGUAGGGGUAUCUUAGGAACAUAUGCCACUAACUUCAGGAUUAAAAUAUACCAGCUCGAAAGCAGAGCAUGGUUGACAAAAGCAGAUGAUAGAAUUUACCAAAGACAUUAGGUGUCAGGGCAAAACUCACAAGUUUAAUGAAUAUGAAGGACAUUGUCGGAUAACAAUCCAACCAAGGAUAUGGCGGUCCAUAAAAGAUCUGAUGUGAGUAUCGAUACUCACCCAGAAGAAGAAAGAAUGCAAAGACAUCGGGUUAUAGAUAUAACCGGAUAACUUCAAAGCUUGAAUACAAAGGAAUUACGAUUUUCAAAUCAGAAGAUCUGAAGCAGAGGCUCUGAUCAAAAGAUAAUUGAGUUGAAUCGAUACAGAUCGAUAGUCAAACAAGGUUUGAUUUGACAAGAACAAGCUCAUGUUUGGAGUGACAUCUGAGCCGGAAGGAUGAAUGCUAGGAUGUGAUUGACGAUUACGAGCAUUCGUGACAUAUUGGAUCAAGGGACUCGAAACGAUAGUGACAGAGGAUGUCAACGAAGAUUACUAGAAUUAUGGAAUUAACCAUAAUACAAGCAAACAAGAAUUUCAACAAUAAUAGGCUGUUGAGGAUUAUCGGAAGAUCGAGUAGUAUUUCAAAGACUUUUGUGAAUCAUAUGAACAACUGGGAAAAACCAAAUCCUCGAUAUGUGUGAUGAUUAAUUUGUCGAUGUAUUCAGGCGACAAGGAACUGCAAGGCAGUAGGCACAAAAGGAUUCUCAAAACAAUGACAAGUAUUUCGGGGUAUCUUGUAAUAACAAGAGCAACUGGGGAUGAAGGUAUGAGCGACAAGGAUAUGCAGUUAUCCAUAGGGAUUCAACGGUGUUAAGGGACUGCAAAGGAAAUGAACACAAGUUCUCGGGAGUAGAUCGGAGAAUAUCUUCGAAGUCUUCUGGUGAAGCAGGCAACCAUCCGGAAUGAAGGGGCUCUCCGGGGAAAGUCGUUAUGAGAACCUAAUGUAGUUAGUAAAUUCAUUUAACCCGAAUAGAAGAGAGAACAGAGUCCCAGAGUAUAGACGAGGAAUAAAAGAUCCUAAUACCACCCAUAUGGCGACGUGGGCCCGUAAGACACACAACCAUGUUAGUAAAAGUUUUUGUAGUGACUAGACUCGACUUCGGCCAAGGAGUUGGAAAGGGGGCUACCUACAGGCAGUCGGCUCUGAUACCAACUUGUGACGCUCUCGAUUCAAUCAUACACUAAUCAUACACGCAAAUGUGUACGAUCAAGAUCAAGGACUCACAGGAAGAUAUCACAACACAACUCUAGACACAAAUUAAAAUAAUACAAGCUUUAUAUUACAAGCCAGGGGCCUUGAGGGCUCGAAUACAUAAGCUCGAAUACACAAGAGUUAGCGUAAGCAACAAUAUCUAAGUACAAACAUAAGUUAGACAAGUUUGCCUUAAGAAGGCUAGCACAAAAGCAUCUACGAUCGAAAAGGCAAGGCCUCCUGCCUGGGAGCCUCCUAACUACUCCUGGUCAUCAGCAUCCUCCACGUAGUAGUAGGCACCCUCGGGGUAGUAGUAGUCGUCAUCAAAGGUGGCGUCUGGAUCCUGGGCUCCGACAUCUGGUUGCAUCAACCGGAAAGAAGAAGAAAGGGGGAAAAGGGGAAGCAAAGCAACCGUGAGUAAUCAUCCAAAGUACUCGCAAGCAAGGAUCUACACUACAUAUGCAACAUUAUCAAAGAGGGGCUGUAUAUGUGGACUGGGAUGCAGAAAUGCCAGAAUACAUAGAAGGCCUAGUCCUAUCGAAGACUAGCAUCUUCUGGAAACCACCAUUGAGGGAGUCCUGGACUAGGGGGUGUCCGGAUAGCCGAACUAUCAUCAUCGACCGGACUCCAAGACUAUGAAGAUACAAGAUUGAAGACUUCGUCCCGUGUCCGGAUGGGACUUUCCUUGGCGUGGAAGGCAAGCUUGGCGAUACGGAUAUCUAGAUCUCCUACCAUUGUAACCGACUUUGUGUAACCCUAUCCCUCUCCGGUGUCUAUAUAAACCGGAUGGUUUUAGUCCAUAGGACGAACAACAAUCAUACCAUAGGCUAGCUUCUAGGGUUUAGCCUCCUUGAUCUCGUGGUAGAUCUACUCUUGUAAUACCCACAUCAUCAAUAUCAAUCAAGCAGGACGUAGGGUUUUACCUCCAUCAAGAGGGCCCGAACCUGGGUAAAACAUCGUGUCCCUUGUCUCCUGUUACCAUCCGCCUAGACGCACAGUUCGGGACCCCCUACCCGAGAUCCGCCGGUUUUGACACCAACAUUGGUGCUUUCAUUGAGAGUUCCUCUAUGCCGUCACCAAUAGGCUCGAUGGCUCCUUCGAUCAUCAACAACGACGCAGUCCAGGGUGAGACUUUUCUCCCUGGACAGAUCUUCGUAUUCGGCGGCUUUGCACUGCGGGCCAUUUCGCUUGGCCAUAUUGAUCAGAUCAAAAGCUACGCCCCUGGCCGUCAGGUCAGAUUUGGAAGUUUGAACUUCACGGCUGACAUCCGCGGAGACUUGAUCUUCGAUGGAUUCGAGCCACAGCCGAGCGCGCCGCACUGUCACGAUGGGCAUGAUUUAGCUCUGUAGCCGGACAGUGCCCUGGAGGCCGCACAUGAGUCCGCUCCGACCCUCAAUUCGGAGCCGGCUGCGCAGAUCGAGGACGGGUGGCUAGACACCGCCUCAGGGGCUGCAACUUCUACGGCGAUGGAGCUGAAUACUGACCUUAUCCCUUGUGAAGCUCGUGACUCUGAGGUGCCGGACUCCUUGCCGGACUCCGAACCUCCCGCGCCCCCUCCAAUCGAAUCCGAUUGGGCGCCGAUCAUGGAGUUCACCGCUGCGGACAUCUUUCAACACUCACCUUUCGGCGACAUCCUGAGUUCGCUAAAGUAUCUCUUGUUAUCAGGAGAGACCUGGCCGGACUGUGGUCAGGACGGUUGGGAUGCGGACGAUGAAGAAAUUCAAGGCCCAUCCACCACCCACUUAGUAGCCACUAUCGAUGAUCUAACCGACAUGCUAGACUUCGACUCCGAAGACAUCGACGGUAUGGACGAUGAUGCUAGAGAUGACCAAGAACCAGCGCCUACUGGCCACUGGAAAGCCACCUCAACUCACGACGUAUACAUGGUGGAUACACCAAAAGGAAGCGAUAACGAGGAACAACGGGACGUGGCGAAGGACAACUCCCCCGAAAAACAACCAAAACGACGACGCAAGCGCCGCCCGAAGUCCCGCCUCGAUAACAACGGCACCCAUACUGACCCAGCCUUAGAGCAGGGCGAAGCAGUGGACGAUGAACAUGCCACCAAGCAACCAUCUGAACAGGAUGAAUUGGACAAGCAACACAUCCCCGGGGAAAACAACAGUCCAGACGAUCUCACGCCGGACACAUCACCGGAGCAUAAGAACCUUCAUAAAAGGCUCGUCGCCACUGCAAGAAGUUUGAAGAAGCAAAAGCGGAAGCUCAAAACAGCGGAGGACGCACUCAGAAUGAGAUGGAGCAAAGUACUUAAUACCGCAGAUAAAUACGGAGAUAGUCACCAGGCAAAGAGCUACCCGAAGCGCAAGCUGUUGCCCGAAUUUGAUGAGGAGGUCGUAGAGCCCCCACAGUCAACAAAGAAAGAGGCCGCCUGGACGGAUAGACGACCAGAUGACAGGCUAAGAGUGGCAAGCGGCGCCGCACACAAGCCGGCACACGGUCCACAUAAGGAUCCUCGCAAAAAGGAUGGCCCGGUCAGGUCCAUCUAUGGGCCAAAAAAGAAGACUCCAGGGAGCAACACAACCCGCUGAGUGUUUGAAGACAACGGCACACCUAAAUACAGGGGCGCCGCACACCCACUAUGUUUCACCGAUGAGGUAUUGGAUCAUGAAUUUCUAGCGGGAUUCAAACCCGUAAACAUAGAGGCAUAUGACAGAACAACAGACCCCGAAGUCUGGAUUGAGGAUUAUAUCCUACACAUACAUAUGGCCAGAGGAGACGAUCUCCAUGCCAUAAAAUACCUACCCCUCAAGCUCAAAGGGCCAGCUCGGCAUUGGCUCAAAAGCCUCCCAGAAAAUACCAUUGGAAGUUGGGAAGAGCUCGAGGAUGCAUUUCGAGCAAAUUUUCAGGGGACUUAUGUACGCCCUCCGGAUGCAGACAAUUUAAGUCACAUAACUCAACAGCCCGGAGAGUCAGCACACAAAUUCUGGAACAGGUUCCUCACCAAAAAGAACCAAAUAGUCGACUGUCCGGACGCCGAAGCCUUAGCAGUCUUUAAGCAUAACGUCGAGAUGAAUGGCUCGCCAGACACCUCGGCCAGGAAAAACCAAGAACAAUGGCCGCGCUAACAAGCCUCAUGACCCGCUUUUGUGCGGGGGAAGACAGCUGGCUGGCAAGAUGCAGCACCACCAACCCGAGUACAUCCGAGGUCAGGGAUGGAAAUGGGAAAUCACGACGCAGAAAAGAUCAGUGCCGGAAUAAGGAAAAUGGCCCAAAUAGCACGGCGGUCAACGCCGGGUUCAAAAGCUCUCGGCCGAAUAAUAGAACACUGCCUCUUAAGGACAACAGUGAUGAGCUAUCCAACCUAAACAAAAUCUUGGAUAGGAUAUGUCAAAUCCAUAGUACCCCCGGGAAGCCUGCAAACCAUACCCACAGAGAUUGUUGGGUCUUCAAGCAGUCCGGCCGACUUACACUGAACACAAGGGGCUCGACACACCAAGCGAAGACGACGACGAACCCCACAAGCAGCACACCGGAAAACAGAAGACUUUCCCACUAGAAGUCAAAACAGUGAACUCACUUCAUGUGAUAACAAGGAAAAAUAGUGCGGCACCUGCUAAAACACGCGCCGCACGGUCCACCCCCGGCAGAGUCCCGAAAUUGGAUGUUUAAACAAAUUACUUUCGACCAUCAGGAUUACUCCAGAAGUGUUCGAAACGCAGGAGGGACUGCUUUGGUAUUGGAUCCCAUAAUCGACGGACUACAAUUCACACAAGUCCUAAUGGAUGGCGGCAGCGAUAUAAACCUGCUAUACCAGGACACCAUCCGCAGAAUGGGGAUAGACCCUACCAAAAUUCGCCGUAGCAGCACUUCCUUCAAAGGAGUGACGCCAGGCCUUUACACCAAUUGUACAGGCUCUGUACUACUAGAGGUUUUGUUCGGUUCAUUCGACAACCUCCAUCGCGAAAAGCUCAUUUUCCAUAUCGCCCCAUUCAAAAGCAGCAAUCAAGCACUACUGGGACGCGAAGCUUUCGCCCUCUUUAACGCAAUACCGCAUUACGCGUCUCUUGCGCUUAAAAUGCCCGGUCCACGCGGCAUAAUCUCAUUAAAGGGUAACUCCGAGUGUUCCUCGACCACGGAAAACGUGAGACUGCCUUGACAGCCACACACUAAUCCGACCUUGCUGGUCAAAGCCCCUAAAAAUAGGUCAUUCAGACCUCGGACACGGUUAGGCGAGUCCGGCAUAAAUGAACAAGGGGCUUCCCAGCCGCAUACCUCUUUAUAAGGGGCUGCACGUAUAAACAAUGAGAGCCAAUAAAGCUCAACUUUAUUCAUCUUCCAAAUCAUACUUUAUUUUAAAUACAUCUUUUGCACGAUAUUUUUUCCAAACUAAGUUCUUCUCUUUUACAGAUGAAGCACGUGGUACACCCGUCCAGGAUACAGCACAACGGAGACACAGGCGCAGACAUGCAGCAGGGACCCGUUGCAAGGAUUCUUUUCAGAUUAAGACCCUGCGUAAACCUUUCUUACUGUCUCUUGUUGAUACACAUCCCCCGGUUUCCUACCAUAACCGAGGAGGAGGCUGGCGUUUUGGCAUCGGCCGCGUCAGAAGUUCUCGCCCGUACCUGGACACUAGGGGCUUAGGGCAUUGUUCUGCCCGGUAUCAUAAAGACCGAAUACCUCAGGGAGUGUUCGGCGUCUCGAGUUAGGCCUUAUAUGCAUCAGCUCCGAAUCAUGUCUUUGGUUAAAUUUGGGUUUGCCCGGCUCCUGUGUUUUGCUGCCUUACGUUCCGCUCCAUCGGCUAACGCGGCACCAGGAGAACUACUGCGAUUGUGCCCCGGUUCGGCCGGGCGAGCACCUCAGUAGAGAAAGCCGAAAACUUACUGUCAUGAUAUAGCGAGAGACUGGUCAACCACUCGAUCGACUACUGAAAUGUUUAGAAUUCCUCCGCUUUGACGAAGGACCGCUUCCCGGUCAAGCACAUACUCGCCCCGAGUUCGGAGAGCGCGGUGCCUCUAGGGGCUAUAUAGUAGCCCCACCAUCGAGCUCCUAUGGCUAAGUGAAAGUGAUAAAGCAUUAUAGUCUGGUUGCCUAGUUUGCUAUGCUAUCACCUCCUUCAAAGGACCAAGACGUUGGAUUAAGUGUGAAAAAGCGCUUUUUUUGCAAACACCCCCGCACCAUGUGCGUGGGGGCUGAAGCCAAAGACUGCCAUCUUUCAGGUCAUACAUACAUAUACGGCCGCACAGGAGAUAGUUCAAUACUUGAACGCACAAGUAUAAAAAGUCGUUACAUUAUAAACAUGAUCUCACAAAUCAUACAUGUCAUUUGAACAUAACAUCUUUCGAGCACUGCGACUCUAUUAAACGAGCGCCCUGCAGGACUUCCUCAAAAUAGUGCUCGGCGGGUAAUCGGCUUUUGUCCGAACCCCGGGAUGCAACAUCGGUGCCAUCCAUCUCUGCCUAGUAUGUCUUAGCACGGGCGAGAGCCAUCCGUGCACCCUCUAUGCAUGUCGACCGCUUCAUCGCCUCGAUAUGCGACACCGCCCCAAGGAAUUGCUGCAAGAAGCCAAAAUAACUCUCCGGCUUGGGCCUUUCUGGCCAUAGAUGAGCCACCACAUCCGUCAUGGCAAGUCCGGACAAUCUAUUUAGCUCAGCCCACUCAGCCAACCGAUCAAUCAAUGGAAGUGGACGCUCCGGACUAUGGAAUUGAGACCAGAAAAGCUCUUCCAUUUCGUGAUCCUUCUGGCUUCGGAAGUGCACGACUGCGUCCGCCGCACUCGCCGCCAAAUCCAGAUAAGGAUCCUCCGCACCCCACAAUUGGCCCAACUGAGCAUACUUCGGAUCCGUGAACUUCCUACGCAGUAGAAAUGGCUUUCCAGCCGCAAUGUCUCCGGCCUGACGCAGUUCCUCCUUCAUAGCCCGCAUCGCACAACAGGCAUCCUUGGCUUCGGCGGCGGCCUUCUUCAGGUCCUCUUGCUCCGCUCGGUGUUCUCUUUAAAGAACCUCAUAGCGGUCGGUAGCAUCUUCUAAUUCCACGGCCAUUCCGGCCAUCUCCUCCCUGCUUCUGCAGUGAGCAGCCUUUUCGGCUUUUAGCUCUUCCGCUGCCUUCGAGGCAGCCGCAUCACUUUUCCUGGCUUGCUCCUUGGCUCGAGCAAGCUCUGCUCGAAGGUCUUCCACAGCAGCGGCACCAUCUGCAUCAAGCAUACAAAUUGUAAGGAACGGGCAUCAGCUCCCUUACUAGGUGACCGCGGAGAAACCACCUACCUUGUGACUCGUCAAGUCAUUUAUUGACCAGCGCGAUGUCCGCAUCCGCAACGUCGAGUUGCCGCUUCAGCUCGGCAACUCCAUCAGUCUGGCUGGCCACCGAACGUUCCGCCACCUACAUAGGAAAGGCGACAUUCUAUAACUGAGAUUAUGAUCCUCGGCACGCUGUCGCUUUCGACAGCAUACCAAGUCUUAGGGGCUACUAUCUAUACAGGGCGCACUCCAUGUGCAAAACUGUCAAAAGGUAUGUCAUUUUUUGCGUACCUCAAACCCCGUCAGCAAACUUCCGACGGCCUCAUGCAACCCGCUCUCGGCGGAUGAGAUCCUUUCAAUCACCAUACUCAUUAAUGUGUGGUGAUCUUCUGAGAUAGACGCCCUCUCGAGCAAACCCUGCAGCUCCACCGGCCGUACUCCAGUGGGUGCCGAACUCCCUGGCCCCGCCGGACUCGGGGAGACCCUCCAUGACGACACCUCAGGGUCGUCCGCCCUGCCCGACGGGGCGGCAGAUGGAGGCGUUUCGCUCUCCAUCAUCUCCGGACGAAGGUCCCCCGAAGGUGAGCUCUGCUGAGAAGGGCUGAGAUCCGAACUACAAGGUGAAAAUUUUGGUUACCCUUAGAAAUAAAGUAGGGAUGUCCCCUAUUACAAAACUCCCCCUUUUUACUUACGGCUCGCUGGAGGGCUGAUUCCUUUGGGGAGACUGUGCGGCCAGGGCUCUUCCCGGUACAGGACCUUCCGUUGCAGAUUUCUUUCCCUACUUUGAGGCCUUGGCCUCCAGGUCUUCGGAAGCGGUCCUCUUCUCCCCCUGGAGGGAGGGACUCUCGAUUCUCCCCUUACUGAAAGCCUCCUUGGUAGAGGUGGUAGUUUCCCUGUGCCCCCCUUCGCCCUCCUCCGAAGGUGCAACCUCCAACAUUUUGAUUAACACGGGAUCCAGCGUGGUCUCAGGGAGGGGGGCCGGACAUCGUAUCAGUUUUGCUUGCGCUAUCCACUCCUGUCCAAGGGAUAGCUGGUUAAAAGGCAAACCCAUGAUAAAUAAAUGGACAAUGUGUCCGGACACAGGGCUACUUACUUGAGUAUCCAGGCGAUUGCAGCUUAGGCCAGCGUCCUCGGUCAAGUCCGGACGCAUCUCUUGUGAUCCGAAGAACAGUUUGUACAUCUCCACGGGUGUCAAACCCAUGAAGUGUUCGAGAGCUCGUGGUCCCUCUGGAUUAAAUUCCCACAGCCAGAGGGGGCGACGUUUGCAGGGCAGAAGGCGCCGAAUCAGCAUAACCUGUGUCACUACAACCAGAUUGUUCUUCCUUUCUUGGAGGUCUCGAAUCCGGCCCUGCAAUAGGGGUACGUCUUUGGACGCCCCCCAGUCAAGCCCUUUGUUGACCCAUGACGUCAGCCGUUGUGGAGGGCCCGGGCGAAAGGCGGGCGGCGGCCUCUGCCUGCUGCCCCUGGGAGCGGUGAUAUAGAACCACUCCUGUUGCCACAAGCCGAGCUCCUCCUGAAAAGAGCCCUCAGGCCAUGGAGCAUUGGCCCUCUUGCUUAUAACUGCCCCGCCGCACUCUGCAUGACGCCCCUCAAUCAUCUUCGGCUAUACGUUGAAGGUUUUGAGCCACAAGCCGAAGUGAGGGGUAGUGCGGAGGAAGGCUUCGCAGACGACAAUGAAUGAUGAGAUGUGGAGGAUGGACUCCGGAGCCAAGUCAUGGAAUUCCAGCCCAUAGUAAAACAUGAGCCCCCUCACGAAGGGAUCCAUCGGGAAGCCUAAACCCCGACGGAGGUGAGACACGAACACGACACUCUCGCCGGGCUCGGGAGUAGGAAUAACUUGCCCUUGGGCAGGCAACCUAUGCGAAAUCUCGUAGGUUAAGUACCUGGCGUCUCUCAGCUUUAGCACGUCCUCUUCCGUGAUGGAGGAGGGCAUCCACCGGCCUCGUAGGUCGGAGCCGGACAUUGUCAAAGGUCGAAAGUACCUGAAUCUGGAGCCCUGGGUGUUGGAACUCGGGGUGAGGGGCGGAUUCGAUUGAGGAUUGAAGAAAAAGAACGGGCCUUGGUCUCAUUAUAAAGAGGGAGAAUACCAAGAGUCGUCCCCAUGACCGUUUGGAACCCGCCUUCAAUGGAGGGGGCGUGGCAACGGGCGCGGUUGGGUUACCCACGUUCGUAUUGAUGAGAAUCCCGGAAUAAGGGGAACACGAUCUCUGCUUCGACAAGACGUGCCAAGGAAACCGCUUCGCUAAACGCACGGAGGUGGUAUAAUAAAAAUGAUUCGAGUAAAGGCUUUGUUGUGGUGUGACGUCAUGCCACAAAAUACGUCAGCAGAUUGAACUUGUGUAAAUAUUAUUCUCUCUAUGGUGGUAUGUGGAAUUUAUUUUGCAGAGCCGGACACUAUCCUGGUGUUCACAAUCUUCUAUAAAUUAUUCGGAGGAGGAACCCGCCUUGCAAUGUCGAAGACAAUAUGCGCGCCGGACUCGUCGUCAUUGAAGCCUGGUUCAGGGGCUACCGAGGGAGUCCUGGACUAGGGGGUGUCCGGAUAUCCGAACUAUCAUCAUCGACCGGACUCCAAGACUAUGAAGAUACAAGAUUGAAGACUUUGUCCCGUGUCCGGAUGGGACUUUCCUUGGCGUGGAAGGCAAGCUUGGCGAUACAGAUAUGUAGAUCUCCUACCAUUGUAACCGACUCUGUGUAACCCUAGCCCUCUCCGGUGUCUAUAUAAACCGGAUGGUUUUAUUCCAUAGGACGAACAACAAUCAUACCAUAGGCUAGCUUCUAGGUUUUAGCCUCCUUGAUCUCGUGGUAGAUCUACUCUUGUAAUACCCACAUCAUCAAUAUCAAUCAAGCAGGACGUAGGAUUUUACCUCCAUCAAGAGGGCCCGAACCUGGGUAAAACAUCGUGUCCCUUGUCUCCUGUUACCAUCCGCCUAGACGCACAGUUCCGGACCCCCUACCCGAGAUCCGCCGGUUUUGACACCGACAACCAUCUUGCAGCAAACAGGAGGGAGUAGAGUAGCAUAAAGUAAAGUAGUAGUAGUGUUAUCAACCUCGGCUAGAGAUCCUUUCUCGACUCCCUGUGAGAAAGCAAUCCCAGAUCCAUACUAUCCAAUUGUCAUGACAAUCCAAUUCUCAUCACCAUCCAAUUCUCAUCACCAUCCAAUUCUCAUCACAAGUAUCCAGUUCUAGUUGUAUCGAUCGGGAUACAACUCCGAGUGUCCGUUACCGUAGGACAGGCUAUCGAUAGAUGUUUUCUUCCCUACAGGGGUGCACCAACUUACCCACCACGCUCGAUUAACUCCGGCCGGACACACUUUCCUGGGUCAUGCCCGGCCUCGGCCAAACAAUACGCCGCAACCCGACAUAGGCUUAAUAGAGAGGUCAGCAUGCUAGACUAAACAUAUGCCCCCAGGGGUCAUGGGCCAUCGCCCUAGGAACUCCUGCAUGUUGUGAGGGCGGCUGGUGAGCAGACCUAGCUACCUCCCUAAAAAGGCAGGUGCUUACUAGUCCAACCCGGCACGCGCCGCUCAGUCGAUGACAUCUAUUAAGCUUCGGCUGAUGCAUACGAUGCAGAAUGCCCAUACUAUGCCCACGUGAUGGUUAGUACUAUCAGGCCAGAGGCCCCUCGGAUCAAAUAUCCAAAUCGUAGUGGAUUAGGAGCACGCGGUAACAAGCAGAGACUCACGAAAGAUGUGACCCCGUUGCCCCAUCUUGAGGACUUGCGGCUAGGGCUAAGAAUGCCCGGCCACGCCUCGUAUUCAACUCUCGGGUACCCUCCAAGCCAACCCGUCUCCACAUCACUCGCAAUUAUGCUCGCGCGGGUACCCCUCAGGGUCAACCCGUCUUUAGUAACAUGGUUCAGUGUAAAGUCAUAGUAAUCAUAGUAACUGUGUGUCUAAACAUCAAGGGGAAAACCUGAGGAAUCACCCCCGGUUAAUUCCACUCGAUGUAAUCAUCAAGGUGAACAUAAGAGGAAUCACCCUCGAGGUUCACACUUGAGGGGUUGCACGACAGAGUUGUAUCGAAAGUGGUUAAGGCGGAAUCACCCUCGAUGACCAUGACCGAAUGGCUACACUACAGAGUUAACAUCAGAAGUGUUGUAGAGGUCUCACCCUCGGCACUCGAUAGUAACCCAGCAGUGUCGAUCAACUAAGGGGGAAGUGAUGUGUGGUGCCGGGGCCUGGUCUUCGAUCCCGUUGAUCGGGUCUUCGAUGAUGAAGAAGGGGCAACAAGGACAAGGUGGAGGUACCUGAUGGAUCACUAACCAACCUAUACUAAGCAGUUUAGGAUAAUCAGGUAAUGUACAACAGUAGAUACAAAAGCAGGCUAUGCAUCAGAAUAGGAGCAAACAAUGACAGUAGCAAAAUCUAAUGCAAGCAUGAGAGAAUGGAAUGGGCGAUAUCNNNNNNNNNNNNNNNNNNNNNNNNNNNNNNNNNNNNNNNNNNNNNNNNNNNNNNNNNNNNNNNNNNNNNNNNNNNNNNNNNNNNNNNNNNNNNNNNNNNNNNNNNNNNNNNNNNNNNNNNNNNNNNNNNNNNNNNNNNNNNNNNNNNNNNNNNNNNNNNNNNNNNNNNNNNNNNNNNNNNNNNNNNNNNNNNNNNNNNNNNNNNNNNNNNNNNNNNNNNNNNNNNNNNNNNNNNNNNNNNNNNNNNNNNNNNNNNNNNNNNNNNNNNNNNNGGGUCUACCGAAGAGAAGAGGGGGAAGAAACAGUAAAUAUAAAGCAAACAUAUCAUAACAGGACAACAAGCAGAGCUAGACGUGUUCUAACGCGGUGCUACACGAUACCGGCGAGGGGGGAAGUCAACCGAGAAUGUUUUCCCGGUUCUGGACAUGUGUUAGACAAAUGACCGGAGGGGGGAAGUUCCAUGUUCAGCAUGCUAGGGGCAUGUGACAGAUGAACGGACCGCGUAUUCGGAUUCGUCACGUUUUUCUGAGCAACUUUCAUGUAGAAAACAUUUUCAUCCGAGUUACAGUUUAAUUUAUAUGAUUUUUCAAAGAUUAAACCAUACUCUGGAAUUAUUUACAUUAACGGACAUGGAAUAUGACGUCAGCAUGACAUAGGAGUGAUGUCAGCAGUCAACAGUUUGGUUGACUGGUCAAAACUAACAUGGGGGACCCACCUGUCAUAGACAGUGGGUUAAACAGGGUUUAAACUAAUCUAAAUUUAGUCAGUUAAACUACUGGGCCCACCUGUCAGUGUCUAAUUAACUAAUCUAAUUAGUUUUAAUUAUUAAAAUGUUUUAAUUAGAGGAUUAAGCGGUGGGACCCGCACGUCAAUGGCUGGGGCCUACCCAGUCAGCAGUGUUGACCAGGUCAACUAGUCAACAGGGGGCCAGAGGCCCCACUGGCAGUGACCUAGGGGGUGGCACCAGGUGUGCCACGUCGGCGGUGGCCGGCGGCUUGACGCCGGCGAUGCCAAAACGCAGCGGAGGGCCUCGGGCCUUGUCGAAUUUCGCCUACGGGCAACCGCUUCGCGCGUGCGAGGGCGCGUUCGAACGAGCGGAGCAGCGCGUGUCGGACUGCGGUGGUGGCCCGACCGGAAACACACUAAAACAACGGCGGUGCGCACCGCGGUGGUCGCCGGAGUUCGAGCAAAUGCGUGGCCGGCGCUAGAUGCUACGGGGAAGGGACCUAGCGGCAUGGGCGGACGCGGCGAGGUGGCCUGAGCACUCUCGAGUGCUCGGGCGAGCAUGACGAUGCCCAUGGCGACGGUGGUGAGCUAUGCGGCCGAUCUGAGCUCGGCCCUGGCGGACGCGGUGGCUACGGGAGUGCAAGAGGCCGGGGGAGCGAGGGAAGGGGAAGAGGGGCUCACUUUGCGGCACGCACGGUGGCCCUCGGAGGUUUAGUAGCAGCAGAGACGGCGCCGGAGACGAAGGAGAUCGACGGCAGCCGGAGAUGGGGACGAGGACGAACAGCGGCUGUGGUGCUUCCCGGUUCUAGUGAAGGACGCCAGUCGAAGGAGCCGACCCUGGCGAAGCUCACCGACAGGGUCAGUGGGCGUGGGGUCGCCGGUGGCCAUGACAACGACGAAGGGCGGCGGCGACUGCGCUCGGAGGUGCACGGGGAACGAGGGGGGAGACUAGGAGGAAUCUGGUGGGAGAGGGAGAGGCGGAGCGACAAGUGGGGGUAGCUGGGGAGGAGGCCGAGGCAUCAAGGGGGGGCGCGGAGGCCUUAUCCUCUCGUGAAGACGUCGAUGGCGAGGUGGUUCGGCGGCGACGGGUGCGCUCUGCCUCGCCCGGUCGGAGGAAUAGGAGGGAAGCGCGCUUCGGGGAGUGAUACGUCUCCAACGUAUCUAUAAUUUUUGAUUGCUCCAUGCUACUUUAUCUACUGUUUUAGGCAAUAUUGGGCUUUAUUAUCCACUAUUAUAUUAUUUUUGGGACUAACCUAUUAACCGGAGGCCUAGCCCAGAUUUGCUGUUUUAUGCCUAUUUCAGUGUUUCGAGGAAAAGGAAUAUCAGACGGAGUCAAAACGGAACGAAAUCAACUGGAAAAGUUAUUUUCGGAAGGAAAGCCACCCGAUGGACUUGGAGUGCACAUCAGGAGAUACGGGAGGUGCUCAUGAGGGUGGGGGCGCGCCCCCUGGGCGCGCCCCCUGCCUCGUGGGACCCCUGUAGCUCCACUGACGUACUUCCUGCACCCAUAUAUAGCUACGUACCCAAAAACUUCCAGAACAGAACCUAGAUCGGGAGUUCCGUCGCUGCAAGCCUCUGUAGCCACCAAAAACCAAUCAGGGCCCUGUUCUGGCACCCUGCCGGAGGGGGAUCCCAUCACCGGAGGCCAUCUUCAUCAUCCCGGUGCUAUCCAUGACGAGGAGGGAGUAGUUCACCCUCGGGGCUGAGGGUAUGUACCAGUAGCUAUGUGUUUGAUCUCUCUCUCUCUCUCUCUCUCUCUCUCUCUCUCUCUCUCUCUCGUGUUCUCUCUCGUGUUCCCUCUAUGGCACGAUCUUGAUGUAUCCCGAGCUUUGCUAUUGUAGUUGGAUCUUAUGAUGUUUCUCCCCCUAUACUCUCUUGUGAUGAAUUGAGUUUCCCCUUUGAAGUUAUCUUAUCGGAUUGAGUCUUUUAUGAGAACACUUGAUGUAUGUCUUGCGAUCCACUUGAUGUAUGUUUUGGUGAUCAACUUGCGGGUUUUGUGACAUUGGGAACCUAUGCAUAGGGAUUGGCACACGUUCUUGACUCUCCGGUAGUAGCUUUGGGGCACUCUUUGAAGUACUUUUAUGUUGGUUGGAUGAAUCUGAGAUUGUGUGAUGCAUAUCGUAUAAUCAUGCCCACGGAUACUUGAGGUGACAAUGGAGUAUCUAGGUGACAUUAGGGUUUUGGUUGAUUUGUGUCUUAAGGUGUUAUUCUAGUACGAACUCUUUUAUAGAUUGAUCCGAAAGAAUAACUUUGAGGUGGUUUCGUACCCUACCAUAAUCUCUAUGUUUGUUGUCCGCUAUUAGUGGCUUUGGAGUGACUCUUUGUUGCAUGUUGAGGGCUUGUUAUAUGAUCUAUCUAUGUUAUUAUUGUUGAGAGAACUUGCACUAGUCAAAGUAUGAACCCUAGGCCUUGUUUCCUAUCAUUGCAAUACCGUUUACGCUCACUUUUAUCAUUAGUUACCUUGCUGUUUUUAUUAUUUCAGAUUACAAAAAUCUAUAUCUACUAUCUUUUUUGCACUUGUAUCUUCAUCUCUUCGCCGAACUAGUGCACCUAUACAAUUUACCAUUGUAUUGGGUGUGUUGGGGACACAAGAGACUCUUUGUUAUUCGGUUGCAGGGUUGUUUGAGAGAGACCAUCUUCAUCCUACGCCUCCUACGGAUUGAUAAACCUUAGGUCAUCCACUUGAGGGAAAUUUGCUAUUGUCCUACAAACCUGUGCACUUGCAGGCCCAACAACGUCUACAAGAAGAAGGUUGUGUAGUAGACAUCAAGCUCUUUUGUGGCGCCGUUGCCGGGGAGGCUAGGUAAAGGGUACUCACACUCCGUCACUAAGCUCAUUUCUGGCGAGGUGAGUGCUUGAAGGUAUAUCUUUAGAUCUUGCAAUCAAAUCUUUUUGUUUCUUGUUUUAUCACUAGUUUAGUUUAUAAAAGAAAAUUACAAAAAAAAUGGAGUUAAGUUUGUCUCAUACGCUUCACCUUUUUAAUAUCUUUCGUGAGUAUGAUGGAAAGGAAAAUUGUGCUCAAGUGCUAGAAGAAGAAAUCUCUAAAUUGUUUGGCACUAAAUAUUUGAAUGAUGAGCAUGAUUGCAAUGUUGUUAGUACGAAUUCUUUGAAUAUCCAUGAUGCUAAUGAUGAUUGCACUAGUUAUGAUGAAAAUGUCUCCUAUAAGCAUGUUGAUUUUUGUGGAGUAGAUUGGAUUUGCAUGGACACACCAAAUAGGGAAGAUAGAUAUUGCAAGAGGCAUAAGUACUUAGAAACUAAAUUGUUGCAAGAAAGGCUAGAUGUUUGUGUUGAAGAUUUAAAUUAUCUUGGCCAUACUUGUGGACUUUGCAAUGAAAGUGGUCAUUUAGCUAUCCGAUGCAAAUUGUUUCAUGAUCUAAUCGUGUCCAAAAAUUGUGAUGACUUGAUUUCCCUUGCACAUUAUAAUGAACUUAGUUUGCUUAUGGGCUAUGAAGAAAUGAAACGUAUAACCAACUAUCUCCCAGACUUUGCCCGUUAUAAACUUCUUGGUUUUGAUCUAGAGGAAAUUUAUAUGUAUUGUGCGGUAAAUUGCAUUGAAAAUCCUUAUAUUGCCAAUUACAUAAAGAAAAGAAAGCAAAUGGAAGAUGAUGAGAAUACUAAUGAAAGGGAAGAGGCCUCCCAAUCUCCUCCUACUAUUUCUUAUGAUGAAUCAGGUAACGAAGAGGAGCUUUCUAUUCAACCAAUCCCAUCAAUAAGGAGCUCAAAGAGGAAGGUUGAACCUACACAUAAUGUGAAGAAGAAAAAGAAAAGAAGGAGAAACAAAGGUAGAAAGGUAUCCCUCCCAAGUGAUGUUGCUCCUACUACUAGUUGUGAUGAUGAUAAUUGCUAUACUAUUGGUGCUAUCAAUAUUUUUAAUGAUGAGAGUGAUUAUGCUUAUGAUAUGAAAGGACCCAAGCUUGGGGAAGCUAUGUUUGAUUGGGAUGAAAUAUUUGAGAAUAUAUUUGCUUAAAUUAAUGUUUGUCCCAAGCUUGGGGAUUCUAUGUUUAAUGAAGAUGAUAUUUUUAGCAUCCCAAGUUUUGAUAUACAAAGUUGUUAUGAUAAUAGCAUGCCUCUUUAUGAUGAUUAUAUUGAUGAAAGUGGGUUUGGAAGAGUGUCAACUUCAGGAAGUAGUGAUCCCACUAUUUUGGAGGAUGUUGAAUCUUAUUGUGAUGAAUAUGAAAGUGGAUUUGGAAGAGUGUCAACUUUAUUUAGUGAUUCCACUAUCUUGGGAGAGGUUUCAAUCGAUUAUGAUGAGAACGAAGUUGCUACUUAUGAUGAUUAUUGUGAUGAAACUUAUGCUAUAAAAAGUAGUGAUGAUUAUGUUUACAAAUCUUUUCAUGAUUAUGAUUACCCUUUUUCUGAACAUUACUCUUUUAAUGUGGAAACAAUUUUUAGUGUUCAAGUCUCUUAUGAUACUCCUACUAUUCCGAAUGAGAAGAAUUUUGCUUAUGUGGAGAGUAUUAAAAAUUCUAGGCUUGUAGAUCAUGAAAAGAAUGCUUUAGGUGCUGGUUAUAUUGUUGAAUUCAUUCAUGAUGCUACUGAAAAUUAUUAUGAGGGAGGAAUAUAUGCUUGUAGGAAUUGCAAUAAUAUCAAGUUUCCACCCUAUGUGCUUAAAUUCUUGAAGCUAUGCUUGUGUUACCUUCCUAUGCUAGUUGAUUAUUGUUCCCACAAGUUGUUUGCUCACAAAAUCCCUAUGCAUAGGAAGUGGGGGGUUAGACUUAAAUGUGCUAGUCAUAUGCUUCAUGAUGCUCCCGUUAUGUUUCAAUUCUUAUCUUUUAUGUGAGCAUCAUUGUCAUCAUCAUGCCUAGCUAGAAAGGCAUUAAAGAAAAGCGCUUGUUGGGAGACAACCCAAUAUUUAUCCUUACUGUUUUUGUGUGUCCACAUGAUUAUACUACUGUAGUAAUCAUGUUUUAUAGCUUUUGUUUCAAUAAAGUGCCAAGUAGAACCUUUGGGAAGACUUGGGUGAAGUUUAUAUGAUAUUGCUGUAGAAAACAGAAACUUUUGCGCUCACGAGAAUGGCUGCCAUUUUUUACUGGAGAGUCAUUUUAGGUUGAUUCUUUUUGCAUAUGAUUAAUAGACAAAUUUCUCAGGUCCAGCAAUUUAGUUCAUAAUUUUUUGGGUUCCAGAAGUAUACGUUUGAUACAGAUUACUACAGACUGUUCUGUUUUUGACAGAUUCUGUUUUCAUUGUGUUGUUUGCUUAUUUUGAUGCAUCUAUGGCUAGUAUUAAGUGAUAUGAACCAUAGAGAAGUUAGAAUACAGUAGAUAUUACACCAAUAUUAAUAAAGAAUGAGUUCAUUACAGUACCUAAGUGGUGAUUUAUUUUCUUAUACUAACGGAGCUUACGAGUUUUGUGUUAAGUUUUGUGUGGUUGAAGUUUUCAAGUUUUGGGUAAAGAUUCGAUGGACUAUGGAAUAAGGAGUGGUAAGAGCCUAAGCUUGGGGAUGCCCAAGGCACCCCAAGAUAAUAUUUCAAGAAGUCUCAAGCAUCUAAGCUUGGGGAUGCCCCAGUAGGCAUCCCACCUUUCUUCUUCAACAACUAUCGGUUAGUAUCGGUUGAGCCUAAGUUUUUGCUUCUUCACAUGAGUUGUGCUAUCCUUGCAUUAUAACACCACCGGAGGCAUUCAUAUAGAGUCAUAUCUUGUUCUAAGUUUCGAGUUGUAAUCCUUGUGUUAUAAUCAAUAGAAGUGUGAUGAUCAUCAUUAUUAGAGCAUUAUCCCAGUGAGGAAAGGAUGAUGGAGACUAUGAUUCCCCCAUAAGUCGGUAUGAGACUCCGGAGUUUGUGAAAAAUAAAAGAGGCCAAAGAAGCCCAAAUAAAAAAAGAGGCCAAAGAAGCCCACCAAUAAAAAAAAGAGAAAAAGAGAGAAGGGACAAUGCUACUAUCCUUUUUCCACACUUGUGCUUCAAAGUAGCACCAUGAUCUUCAUGAUAGAGAGUCUCAUAUGUUGUCACUUUCAUAUACUAGUGGGAAUUUUUCAUUAUAGAACUUGGCUUGUAUAUUCCGAUGAUGGGCUUCCUCAAAAGUGCCCUAGGUCUUCGUGAGCAAGCAAGUUGGAUGCACACCCACUUAGUUUCUUUUGUUGAGCUUUUAUAUACUUAUAGCUCUAGUGCAUCCGUUGCAUGGCAAUCCCUACUCACUCACAUCAAUAUCUAUCAAUGGGCAUCCCCAUAGCCCGUUGAUACACCUAGUUGAUGUGAGACUAUCUUCUCCUUUUUUGUCUUCUCCACAACCACCAUUCUAUUCCAUCUAUAGUUCUAUGUCCAUGGCUCACGCUCAUGUAUUGCGUGAAAGUUGAAAAAGUUUGAGAUUUCUAAAGUAUGAAACAAUUGCUUGGCUCAUCAUCGGGGUUGUGCAUGAUUAAAUACUUUGUGUGUUGAAGAUAGAGCAUAGCCAGACUAUAUGAUUUUGUAGGGAUAACUUUCUUUAACCAUGCUAUUUUGAGAAGACAUGAUUGCUUUGAUUAGUAUGCUUGAAGUAUUAUUACUUUUGUGUUAAUAUGAACUUUUGUCUUGAAUCUUUCGGAUCUGAAUAUUCAUACCACAAUUAAGAAGAUUUACAUUGAAAUUAUGCCAAAGUAUCACUCCACAUCAAAAAUUCUUUUUUAUCAUUUACCUACUCGAGGACGAGCAGGAAUUAAGCUUGGGGAUGCUUGAUACGUCUCCAACGUAUCUAUAAUUUUUGAUUGCUCCAUGCUACUUUAUCUACUGUUUUAGGCAAUAUUGGGCUUUAUUAUCCACUUUUAUAUUAUUUUUGGGACUAACCUAUUAACCGGAGGCCCAGCCCAGAUUUGCUAUUUUAUGCCUAUUUCAGUGUUUCGAGGAAAAGGAAUAUCAUACGGAGUCAAAACGGAACGAAAUCAACUGGAGAAGUUAUUUUCGGAAGGAAAGCCACCCGAUGGACUUGGAGUGCAUGUAAGGAGAUACGAGAGGUGCUCACGAGGGUGGGGGGCGCCCCCCUGGGCACGCCCCCUGCCUGUGGGACCCCCGUAGCUCCACCGACGUACUUCCUGCACCCAUAUAUACCUACAUACCCAAAAACUUCCAGAACAGAACCUAGAUCGGGAGUUUCGCCGCCGCAAGCCUCUGUAGCCACCAAAAACCAAUCGGGGCCCUGUUCCGGCACCCUGCCGGAGGGGGAUCCCAUCAUCGGAGGCCAUCUUCAUCAUCCCGGCGCUAUCCAUGACGAGGAGGGAGUAGUUCACCCUCGGGGCUGAGGGUAUGUACCAGUAGCUAUGUGUUUGAUCUCUCUCUAUCUCGUGUUCUCUCUCGUGUUCCCUCUAUGGCACGAUCUUAUUGAUGUAUCCCGAGCUUUGCUAUUGUAGUUGGAUCUAAUGAUGUUUCUCCCCCUCUACUCUCUUGUGAUGAAUUGAGUUUCCCCUUUGAAGUUAUCUUAUCGGAUUGAGUCUUUUAUGAGAACACUUGAUGUAUGUCUUGCGAUCCACUUGAUGUAUGUUUUGGUGAUCAACUUGCGGGUUUCGUGACAUUGGGAACCUAUGCAUAGGGGUUGGCACACGUUCUUGACUCUCCGGUAGUAGCUUUGGGGCACUCUUUGAAGUACUUUUAUGUUGGUUGGAUGAAUCUGAGAUUGUGUGAUGCAUAUCGUAUAAUCAUGCCCACGGAUACUUGAGGUGACAAUGGAGUAUCUAGGUGACAUUAGGGUUUUGGUUGAUUUGUGUCUUAAGGUGAUAAAGAGUUCGACGUAAAGAGUUACGUCGAUGCAAGCUUAACACCUAUCCGGAUAGCUCUGAUAGAGAUACCGGAUACGUAUAAUGGAGCAAAAAUUUGGAAUAGCUCCAAGUGGAACGUGGUAGCAGCAUCUACGAUAUGACAUAAAGUUUUGCGAAAUACAUAGGGAUCUAAAUGUUGCAGACUCGUUGACUACAACCUCUCUCACAAGCAUAACAUGAUCAAACCCAGAACUCAUUGAGUGUUAAUCACAUAGUGAUGUGAACUAGAUUGUUGACUCUAGUAAACUCUUUGGAUGUUAGUCACAUGGUGAUGUGACCUGUGAGUGUUAAUCACAUGGUGAUGUGAACUAGAUUAUUGACUCUAGUGCAAGUGGGAGACUGUUGGAAAUAUGCCCUAGAGGCAAUAAUAAGUUAGUUAUUAUUAUUAUAUUUCCUUAUUCAUGAUAAUCGUUUAUUAUCCAUGCUAGAAUUGUAUUGAUAGGAAACUCAGAUACAUGUGUGGAUACAUAGACAACACCAUGUCCCUAGUAAGCCUCUAGUUGACUAGCUCGUUGAUCAAUAGAUGCUUACGGUUUCCUGACCAUGGACAUUGGAUGUUGUUGAUAAUGGGAUCACAUCAUUAGGAGAAUGAUGUGAUGGACAAGACCCAAUCCUAAGCCUAGCACAAGAUCGUGUAGUUCGUAUGCUAAAGCUUUUCUAAAUGUCAAGUAUCUUUUCCUUAGACCAUGAGAUUGUGCAACUCCCGGAUACCGUAGGAAUGCUUUGGGUGUACCAAACGUCACAAUGUAACUGGGUGGCUAUAAAGAUGCACUACGGGUAUCUCCAAAAGUGUCUGUUGGGUUGGCACGAAUCGAGACUGGGAUUUGUCACUCCGUGUGACGGAGAGGUAUCUCUGGGCCCACUCGGUAGGACAUCAUCAUAAUGUGCAGAAUGUGAUCAAGUAGUUGAUCACGGGAUGAUGUGUUACGGAACGAGUAAAGAGACUUGCCGGUAACGAGAUUGAACAAGGUAUCGGGAUACCGACGAUCGAAUCUCGGGCAAGUAUCAUACCAGUAGACAAAGGGAAUUGUAUACGGGAUUGAUUGAGUCCUUGACAUCGUGGUUCAUCCGAUGAGAUCAUCGUGGAACAUGUGGGAGCCAACAUGGGUAUCCAGAUCCCGCUGUUGGUUAUUGACCAGAGAGAUAUCUCGGUCAUGUUUGCAUGAUUCCCGAGCCCGUAGGGUCUACACACUUAAGGUUCGAUGAUGCUAGGGUUAUAGGGAAGGUAUGUACACAGUUACGAAUGUUUUUCAGAGUCCCGGAUGAGAUCCCGGACGUCACGAGGAGUCCCGGAAUGGUCCGGAGGUGAAGAUUGAUAUAUUGGACGAAGGGUUUUGGAGUCCGGAAGUGUUCUGGAGGUACCGGGUGAUGACCAGCAUGACCGAAAGGUAUUUCGGGAGCCCCGACAAGUGUUGGGGGGGCUUCAUGGGCCAAGGGAAGGGGGAAAACCAGCCCACUAAGGGACUGUGCGCCCCCUCACCUAUUCCCACGUGACCAGGGGGUUUGGGGCGCCCCAUCUAGGGUUCCCACCUCCUGGCUUGGGGGCCAAGUCACCCAAAGGGGAGAUCCCAUCUGCCCUGGCCGCCGCCCCCCCAGGGGAAACCCUAGGGCGCCUCCCCCUCCCCCUUGCCCCUAUAUAUAGUGGAGGUUUUGGGGCUGCCCAACACAUGAGUCUCUCUCUCCCAAGGCGCAGCCCUACCUCUCUCCCUCCUCGUCUCUCGUAGUGCUUGGCGAAGCCCUGCUGGAGUACCGCGCUCCACCACCACCACCACGCCGUCGUGCUGCUGCUGGAUGGAGUCUUCCCCAACCUCUCCCUCUCUCCUUGCUGGAUCAAGGCACGGGAGACGUCAUCGGGCUGCACGUGUGUUGAACGCGGAGGCGCCAUUGUUCGGCGCUUAGAUCGGAAUCGACCGUGAUCUGAAUCACCACGAGUACGACUACUUCAUCCGCGUUCUUGCAACACUUCUGCUUAGCAAUCUACAAGGGUAUGUAGAUGCACUCCCCUUCCCCUCGUUGCUAGAUUACUCCAUAGAUUGAUCUUGGUGAUGCGUAGAAAACUUAAAAUUUCUGCUACGUUCCCCAACAGGCCCACCAUUGCUUCUCCAUAGCUCGUAGGUUCAUUGAUGUCUAGCAACAUGACCUCCAAGACAGGAUUACCGUACCACUCUGAAGCGGUACCUAUCCUUGUCGUCCUACGAGGUUUGGUAGUGACUUGAUCCGAAGUUUCAUGAUCACUAUCAUCAACUUCCACUUCAAUUGGUGUAGGUGCCACAGGAACAACUUCCUGUGCCCUGCUACACACUGGUUGAAGUGAUGGUUCAAUAACCUUAUCAAGUCUCCACCAUCCUCCCACUCAGAUCUUUCAAGAGAAACUAUUCCUCGAGAAAGGACCCGUUUCUAGAUACAAUCACUUUUGCUUCUGGGUCUGAAUUAGGAGGUAUACCCAACUGUUUUGGGUGUCCUAUGAAGAUGUAUUUAUCCGCUUUGGGUUCGAGCUUAUCAGGAUGAAACUUUUUCACAUAAGCAUCGCAACCCCAAACCUUCAAGAAACGACAGCUUAGGUUUCUCUAAACCAUAGUUCAUACGGUGUCAUCUCAACGGAAUUACGUGGUGCCCUAUUUAAAGUGAAUGCGGUUGUCUCUAAUGCCUAACCCAUGAACGAUAGUGGUAAUUCAAUAAGAGACAUCAUGGCAUGCACCAUAUCCAAUAGGGUGCAUCUAUGAUGUUAGGACACACCAUCACACUAUGGUGUUCCAGGCGGUAUUAGUUGUGAAACAAUUUCCACAAGGUCUUAAUUGUGUACCAAACUCGUAACUCAGAUAUUCAUCUCUUUGAUCAUAUCAUAGACAUUUUAUCCUCUUGUCACGAUGAUCUUCAACUUCACUCUGAAAUUACUUGAACCUUUCAAUAAUUCAGACUUGUGUUUCAUCAAGUAAAUAUACUUAGCAUCUACUCAAGUCAUCUGUGAAGUAAGAACAUAACAAUAUUCACUGCGUGCCUCAGCACUCAUUGGACAGCACACAUCAAAAUGUAUUACUUCCAACAAGUUGCUCUCUUGUUCCAUCUUUCUGAAAAUGAGGCUUUUCAGUCAUCUUGCCCAUGUGGUAUGAUUUGCGUGUCUCAAGUGAUUUAGAAUCAAGUGAGUCCAAAUGAUCCAUCUGCAUAGAGUUUCUUCAUGCGCACAUACCAAUAGACAAGGUUCGCAUGUCUCAAACAUUUCAAAAACGAGUGAGUCCAAAGAUCCAUCAACAUGGAGCUUCUUCAUGCAUUUUAUACCAACAUGACUCAAAUGGCAGUGCCACAAGCAGGUGGUACUAUCAUUACUAUCUUAUAUCUUUUGCCAUGAACAUGUGUAUCACUACGAUCGAGAUUCAAUAAACCAUUCUUUUAGGUGCAAGACCAUUGAAGGUAUUAUUCAAAUAAAUAGAGUAACCAUUAUUCUCCUUAAAUAAAUAACCAUAUUGUGAUAGACAUAAUCCAAUCAUGUCUAUGCUCAACGCAAACACCAAAUAACAAUUAUUUAGGUUUAACACCAAUCUCGAUGGUAGAGGGGCAGGCGAUGCUUGAUCACAUCAACCUUGGAAACACUUCCAACACACAUCAUCAUCUCACCUUUAGCUAGUCUCCGUUUAUUCCGUAGCUCUUUUAUUUCGAGUUACUAACACUUAGCAACCGAACCGGUAUCUUAAUACGCUGGUGCUACUAGGAGUACUAGUAAAGUACACAUUUAAUACAAUGUAUAUCCAAUAUACUUCUGUCAACCUUGCCAGCCUUCUCAUCUACCAAGUAUCUAGGGUAGUUCUGCUUCAGUGACCGUUCCCUCAUUACAGAAGCACUUAGUCUCGGGUUUGGGUUCAACCCUGGGUUUCUUCACUGGAGCAGCAACUGAUUUGUCGUUUCAUGAAGUACCCCUUCUUGCCCUUGCCCUUCUUGAAACUAGUGGUUUCACUAACCAUCAACAAUUGAUGCUCCUUCUUGAUUUAUACUUUUGCGGUGUCAAACAUCAUGAAUAUUUCAAGGAUCAUCAUAUCUAUCCCUGAUAUGUUAUAGUUCGUCAUGAAGCUCUAGUAGCUUGGUGGCAAUGUCUUUGGAGAAACAUCACUAUCUCAUUUGGAAGAUUAACUCCCACUCAAUUCAAGUGAUUGUUGUACCCAGACAAUCUGAGUACAAGCUCAAUGAUUGAGCUUUUCUCCCUUAGUUUGUAGGCUAAGAAGCUUGUCGGAGGUCUUAUACCUCUUGACGUGGGCACGAGCGUGAAAUCCCAAUUUCAGCCCUUGGAAUAUCUCAUAUGUUCCGCGACAUUUCUAAAAUGUCUUUAGCGCCUCAAUUCUAAACCAUUUAACAUUACUGAACUAUCACGUAGUCAUCAAAACGUGUAUGUCAGAUGUUCGCAACAUCCACAGACGAUGUUCGAGGUUCAGCACACCGAGCGGUGCAUUAAGGACAUAAGCCUUCUACGCAGCAAUGAGGACAAUCCUCAGUUUACGGACCCAGUCCGCAUAAUUGCUACUAUCAACUUUCAACUAAAUUUUCUCUAGCAACAUAUCUAAAAUAGUAUAACUAAAACGCGAGCUACGACAUAAUUUGCAAAGACCUUUUGACUAUGUUCAGGAUAAUUAAGUUCAUCUAAUGAACUCCCACUCAGAUAGACAUUCCUCUAGUCAUCUAAGUGAUACAUGAUCCGAGUCAAUGCUACCUCUUGAGCACUGCGUUGGAUUUCCCCGAAGAGGAGAGGAUGAUGCAGUAAAGUAGCGUAAGUAUUUCCCUCAGUUUUUGAGAAUCAAGGUAUCAAUCCAGUAGGAGAUCACACACAAGUCCCUCGUACCUACACAAAACGAUAGCAACUCGCAACCAACGCUUAGGGGUUGUCAAUCCCUUCACGGUCACUUACGAGAGUGAGAUCUGAUAGAGAUAAUAUUUUUGGUAUUUUUGAUAGAUAGAUGCAAAGUAAAAAGUAAAAGGCAAAGUAAAACAAAGCAAGUAAAUAAAUUAAUGGAGAUUGAUAUGAUGAGAAUAGACCUGGGGGCCAUAGGUUUCACUAGUGGCUUCUCUCAAGAGCAUAGGUAUUCUAUGGUGGGUGAACAAAUUACUGUUGAGCAAUUGAUAGAAAAGCAAAUAAUUAUGAGAUUAUCUAGGUAUGAUCAUGUAUAUAGGCAUCACGUCCAAAACAAGUAGAUCGAAACGAUUCUGCAUCUACUACUAUUACUCCACUCAUCGACCGCUAUCCAGCAUGCAUCUAGAGUAUUAAGUAAAAACAGACUAACGCCAUAAGCAAGAUGACAUGAUGUAGAGGGAUAAAUUCAUGCAAUAUGAUAAAAACCCCAUCUUGUUAUCCUCAAUGGCAACAAUACAAUACGUGCCUUGCAACUCUUUCUGUCACUGAGUAAGGACACCGCAAGAUUGAACCCAAAGCUAAACACUUCUCCCAUUGCAAGAACUACCAAUCUAGUUGGCCAAACCACAAAGAUAAUUCGAAGAGACUUGCAAAGAUAACUCAAUCAUACAUAAAAGAAUUCAGAGAAGAAUCAAAUAUUGUUCAUAGAUAAGCUGGAUCAUAAACCCACAAUUCAUCGGUCUCAACAAACACACCGCAAAAAGAAGAUUACAUCGAAUAGAUCUCCACAAGAGAGGGGGAGAACAUUGUAUUGAGAUCCAAAAAGAGAGAAGAAGUCAUCUAGCUAAUAACUAUGGACCCGAAGGUCUGAAGUAAACUACUCACACUUCAUCGGAGAGGCUAUGGUGUUGAUGUAGAAGCCCUCCGUGGUAGUUGUCCUCUCCGGUCGAGCUCCGGAACAGGCCCCAAGAUGGGAUCUCGCGGAUACAGAAGGUUGCGGCGGUGGAAUUAGGUUUUUGGCUCCGUAUCUGAUCUAACGGGGGUACAUAGGUAUAUAUAGGAGGAAGGAGUACGUCGGUGAAGCUCUGAGGGGCCCACGANNNNNNNNNNNNNNNNNNNNNNNNNNNNNNNNNNNNNNNNNNNNNNNNNNNNNNNNNNNNNNNNNNNNNNNNNNNNNNNNNNNNNNNNNNNNNNNNNNNNNNNNNNNNNNNNNNNNNNNNNNNNNNNNNNNNNNNNNNNNNNNNNNNNNNNNNNNNNNNNNNNNNNNCUUGGAGUAGGGUCCAAGUCCCCUGGAUCACGUUCGGUUGGAAAAUCACGUUCACGAAGGUUUUAUUCCGUUUGGACUCUGUUUGAUAUUUUGUUUCUUCAAAACACUGAAAUAGGCAAAAAAACAACAAUUCUGGGCUGGGCCUCCGGUUAAUAGGUUAGUCCCAAAAAUAAUAUAAAAGUGGAAAACAAAGCCCAAUAUAGUCCAAAACAAUAGACAAAGUAGCAUGGAGUAAUCAAAAAUUAUAGAUACGUUGGAGACGUAUCAGUCAACUAGGCCGUGUCCGAUCAUCACGUGAGACGGACUAGUCAUCAUCGGUGAACAUCUUCAUGUUGAUCGUAUCUACUAUACGACUCAUGCUUGACCUUUCGGUCUCUUGUGUUUCGAGGCCAUGUCUGUACAUGCUAGGCUCGUCAAGUCAACCUAAGUGUUUCGCGUGUGUAAAUCUGGCUUACACCCGUGGUAUGUGAGCGUUAGAAUCUAUCACACCCGAUCAUCACGUGGUGCUUCGAAACAAUGAACUUUCGCAAUGGUGCACGGUUAGGGGGAACACUUUGUUGAAAUUUUAAUGAGGGAUCAUCUUAUUUACUACCGUCGUUCUAAGCAAAUAAGAUGUAUAAACAUGAUAAACAUCACAUGCAAUCAAAUAGUGACAUGAUAUGGCCAAUAUCAUUUUGCUCCUUUUGAUCUCCAUCUUCGGGGCUCCAUGAUCAUCAUCGUCACCGGCAUGACACCAUGAUCUCCAUCAUCAUGAUCUCCAUCAUCGUGUCUCCAUGAAGUUGUCUUACCAACUUAUUACUUCUACUACUAUGGCUAACAAUUUAGCAAUGAAGUAAAGUAAUUACAUGGCGUUAUUCAGUGACACGCAGGUCAUACAAUAAAUAAAGACAACUCCUAUGGCUCCUGCCGGUUGUCAUACUCAUCAACAUGCAAGUCGUGAUUCCUAUUACAAGAAUAUGAACAAUCUCAUACAUCACAUAUAUUUCAUUCAUCACAUCCUUCUUGGCCAUAUCACAUCAUACGGCAUAUGCUGCAAAAACAAGUUAGACGUCCUCUAAUUGGUGUUGCAAGUUUUUACGUGGCUGCUAUAGGUUUCUAGCAAGACCGCUUCUUACCUACGCCAAAACCACAACGUGAUAUGCCAAUUUCUAUUUACCCUUCAUAAGGACCCUUUUCAUCGAAUCCGAUCCAACUAAAGUGAGAGAGACAGACACCCGCUAGCCACCUUAUGCAACAAGUGCAUGUCAGUCGGUGGAACCUGUCUCACGUAAGUGUACGUGUAAGGUCGGUCCGGGACGCUUCAUCCCACAAUACCAUCGAAACAAGAUAGGACUAGUAAUGAUAAGCAUAUUGAACAAAAUCAACGCCCACAACAACUUGUGUUCUACUCGUGCAUAGAAUCUACGCAAUAGACCUAGCUCAUGAUGCCACUGUUGGGGAACGUAGCAGAAAUUCAAAAUUUUCUACGCAUCACCAAGAUCAAUCUAUGGAGAUUCUAGCAACAAGAGAGAGAGGGAGUGCAUCUUCAUACCCUUGAAGAUCGCUAAGCGGAAGCGUUACAAGAACGCGGUUGAUGGAGUCGUACUCGCGGCGAUUCAAAUCGCGGAAGAUCCGAUCUAGCGUCGAACGGACGGCGCCUCCGUGUUCAACACACGUACAGCCCGGGGACGUCUCCUCCUUCUUGAUCCAGCAAGGGGAGAGGAGAAGUUGAGGGAAAACUCUGACAGCACGACGACAUGGUGGUGAUGGAGCUCGUGGUUCUCCAGCAGGGCUUCGCCAAGCACUAUGGAGGAGGAGGAGGUGUUGGAGGAGGGAGAGGGCUGCGCCAGGGGAAGGGUACGGCUGCCCUCUCUCUCCCUCACUAUACAUAGGGGGAAGGGAGGAGGGGGAGGCGCCCUAGGGUUCUCUAGGGGAGGGGCGGCGGCCACAGGGGAAACCCUAGAUGGGUUUGGGCGCCCCCACCCCCUAGGAAACUUGCCCCCCAAGCCGGGAGGGGCGGCUACCCUAGGGGUGGCGCCCUCACCUCCCCUGGUUACGUGAGAUGGGGUGGGAGGGGCGCUCAGCCCCUUAGUGGGCUGAUGUGCCCCCUCCCCUUGGCCCAUAAGGCCCCCCAACGCUUGUCGGGGCCUCCGAAACCUCUUUCGGACACGCUGGUCAUCACCUGGUACCCCCGGAACAAUUCCGGACUCCAAUACCCUUUGUCCAAUAUACCGAUCUUCACCUCCGGACCAUUCUGGAGCUCCUCGUCACGUCCGGGAUCUCAUCCGGGACUCCGAACAACCUUCGGUAACCACAUACUAUUUUCCAUAACAACUCUAGCGUCACCGAACCUUAAGUGUGUAGACCCUACGGGUUCGGGAACCAUGCAGACAUGACCGAGACGUUCUCCGGUCAAUAACCAACAGCGGGAUCUGGAUACCCAUGUUGGCUCCCACAUGUUCCACGAUGAUCUCAUCGGAUGGACUACGAUGUCAAGGAUUCAAGCAAUCCCGUAUGCAAUUUCCUUUGUCAAUCGGUAUGUUACUUGCCCGAGAUUCGGUCGUCGGUAUCCCAAUACCUCGUUCAAUCUUGUUACCGGCAAGUCACUUUGCUCGUUCCAUAAUGCAUGAUCCCGUGACUAACUACUUAGUCACAUUGAGCUCAUUAUGAUGAUGCAUUACUGAGUGGGCCCAGAGAUACCUCUCCGUCAUACGGAGUGACAAACCCCAGUCUCGAUUCGUGCCAACCCAACAGACAUUUUCGGAGAUACCCGUAGUGCACCUUUAUAGCCACCCAGUCACGUUGUGACGUUUGGCACACCCAAAGCAUUCCUACGGUAUCCGGGAGUUGCACAAUAUCAUGGUCUAAGGAAAUGAUACUUGACAUUAGAAAAGUUUUAGCAAACGGACUACACGAUCUUGUGCUAUGCUUAGGAUUGGGUCUUGUCCAUCACAUCAUUCUCAUACCAUCUAUUGAUCAAUGAGCUAGUCAACUAGAGGCUCACUAGGGACAUGUUGUGGUCUAUGUAUUCACACAUGUAUUACGAUUUCCAGUUAAUACAAUUAUAGCAUGAACAAUAGACAAUUAUCAUGAACAAGGAAAUGCAAUAAUAACAAUUUUAUUAUUGCCUCUAGGGCAUAUUUUCAACAAUUGUAAUGUGCUGGACGAACGCAUGCAACAUCGGAAAAAACCCACCAGAUCACGCUCGACGUUCAAUCGGCUGAGGGGUACCAUGUUCCCAUCUUUAAGGACAUUUUCCAUUUUUGAGGCAAUUUAACUAUUUUUUUAGCCAAAUCUACUUUUUUUAGACAAGUUAACUUUUUCGAGAAAAAUCUCGCGGAGCUUUAUUAAUUCAUCACAACGUUUACAAGGAUGAAAGAAAAUUUACCGGGCUAACCUAACCAAACAUGGCGGCCAACCCCUAAAGUUAAUGCAUGCUUCGCUGGACUGUGAGCUUCAUAGUUUGAGCUCCUAAAUUCAUGGACUAUAUUACGUGAAAUAACAGCAACAUCACUUUCUUUGAUUUCCCGAGUGAUUGCACCAUAUUGUGCACACCUUUCACUCUUGACUUCGUCCACCACAAUAUUGCAAUAGGAGGUUACAUGUAUGCGUUGACUGUAAAGAUCCUCUGAAAGAGCCAACGCCUCUCUCACCGCCAUAGCUUCAAGUGUAGUUGGGUCUGAAAUAGUAGGGAAGACAAUUGUCGAGCCUCGUUGGAACACCCCAUUUUGAUGUCUGCUGAUUACCGCCACUGCCCCAUGAGUUCCACUCUGUCCCACUGUGGCAUCAACGUUCACUUUCAAAAAGCUUACUGGAGAGGAUAACCACCUGUUAUUAGCUGGUGCAACCCAAGUAGAAGCAGUUCGGGUAGGUUUUGCCAACCUUUGAAUUUCCUUCAGGUAAGAUGUGAUGAAACCAUUGAUAGCAUGGGGGCUUUGAAAUAUACCUUUUUGUAGAGCUUUCCUUUGAGCCCCCCAGAUCGUCCAUAAUGUGACCUCAAGCCGAACAAAAUGUUUAGUCUGAAGAGUGUCAUGCAUGGUGAAGAUCCAAUGCCUUGCAUUCUUCUCCUGGUUCACACUCAACUAUUCGACCACUUGAUCCAAAGAUAGGGCCCAGGUACAACGGGACGUGGGGCAGCUUAAAAAAGCAUGCCGCCAGGUAUCAUGCACCCCGCACAGAGCACAUGCUCCUGUGGUACCCAUGUCGAUGAAGCACUUCAUUAGAUGGAAUUGAUUGCCGCCCUAGUCGCCAAAUGAACACUUGAAGUUUCAAUGGAACCUGAACAUUCCAAAUCGAAUUCCACUCACUGCUUUCGAAAGUAGUGUGAGAUAAGCCUUCCUUUCUUCAAGCCAUCCUUCUCUGUUAACUUUUGUUCUCACAAUCAUGCGGUAGGCCGAGCGGACUGUAAACAUGCCUCGCUGUUCUUUGUUCCACGCCUAAAAGUCUGAGAUUUUACUAGUGCAUAGCGAAAUUUUGAGUAUAGCUUCUGUGUUUUUUUUCAAGAAUACACAAUUGCGUACCAUAGUUUUAUAGAAGGCGAAAUUUUAAGUACAAGAUGGCUACAAAUUGCUAUGAAUAACUGCAAAUAACGGGUAUAGCUUCUGUGCUAAAAGGGGUGAAAACCGAGCGAACAAGUUCCUCUCUCCAUGACGUCGUAGCACUCUGGAUGAGCUCCGCCAUCCAAGUGGGAGGGUUUUGGACAGUGGAUGCAAUUGGACGUUUGUAGCAUUUUCUUUUGAGAAGAAUGACGUUUGUAUCUGUCCCUCGGUAUCCAAAUUUUGUGCCAUGGACCUGCGCCGCCUGGGCUCAUAUCGCCCACAGUGAGUUCGCAAUUGCACCAGAUGACCAGAAACCCACCCAGGUCCAGCACGCGAAACCCUCGCACCCAUUCGCACUGCCGCCUCCGCGGCCGCGCGCUCAACACUCGCCAGGCACCUCGCCGUUUCCGCGUUUCCUUCCUCAACGGCGACCCCGAUGCCAAAAUCGGCAACCCGGAGCGCGCGCCGUCGUAUAUAAGGAUGCCUCGUCUCCCUAGCCCUAGCCUGCGCCUCCUCUGACCCUCACCCGCCGCCGGCCCCCGAAACCCUAACCCACUCCGGCGAGUAGACCCGGCACGUUCUGCUCUCUCCACCACCAGCCGCCAGAGAUGGCCGCCCGCAAUUCAUCUGCGCCCGCCGCACACCCGCUCCACCAGGAUUCCGUCGCCGCCCCCAACUCGCCCCUGCUCGCCGCCGACCCGCUCCACCAGGCUGCCGUGGCCAACCCCAACUCUCCCGUGCUCGCCGCCAACCCGGUCCACCAGGCCAGCGCGGCGGCGUCGUCGGGGAUGUACGGCGCUCCUGGGGCCCUCCCAACCGAGCAAGGGUCUUUGACGGUGCUGCCGCCGCCACAAGGCGCGCCUGUGAUGAAGACGGUCCAGGGCGUGAACAUGAUGGCUCCGACGCCCCUGCAAUGACCCCCGGUGAUGCAAGGGGCAAACACGGUGGUGCCGAUGCCCCUGUGGGAGCUGGUCAUGACCGUGCCCCUACAAGGCAGACCUGUGAUGGCACCUCUGCCUUUCCCCGCAGUCCUCCAUCCAUGAUGGCACCUCCGUCCUUUUAUGAUGUCGCUUCACCAAUGACGGUGCAGCAGCCUCCACAUGCCGGAUACAUGAUGGGCCAGCCGCUGUUGCGUGCCAGCCCUCCACCGAUGGCGGCGCUGCAUCUCCCACAGGCCGUGCACAUGGUGGCACAGCCGCCUUUGCCAGCUGGCCCCCCUCCUCUGAGGCGUCGCCGUCCUGACUACUUUGGUUUGUGCUUACUGCUCAAUUCUCUGCCUCUGUUAGAUUAAUUCUUUGUUUUGUUCCUGCAGAUUCAUAUAAAAGUUUAGCAAAGAGAAAUGAAACCUUAUCAGAUUUGUUGAUGCUUAUGGUUGUAGUUUAUAGAGUAGAUUUUGUUGAUGCUUAUGGUUGUAGUUUAUAGAGUAGAUUUUGUUGACGCUUAAGGUUGUAGUUUAUACAAUAGUUUAUUAUUAUUAUUAGUAUGUUUGUAGCUUAUACAAUUGUCUGUUUGUUGGCCAUAUGCACGGUUAGGCUUUUGAUUAUGUCUAUGUAAAAAGCAUAUGGCUAUAGACAUAUCUUUGAUUUUUUCCUGGGAAGCUUAAUAGUCAACGCUGCGGUUGUUUCUCUUAUGGUUCAACAUGGAUAUUCGAGAUGUUGUUGAUUGUUAGAUUGUACCUUUUUUUAAGCAUCACUGCAUCAGGUUUGUAGACUGAAGGUUUGGAUUUGUUAGUGAGAAUUUAGAACAUAAGUAUGGCAGAUUAUUGUCUCAUUAGCCUAAGUUUUUCUGUCAAAUCUUCGAAGAAAAAUCCUAGGAUAGUUAUAGGAUACAGUUCUGGGAUUUUUCUCUCUAUGGUGUUGGUAGCAUUUUGACAUGUGGAUUAAGUGUUGCCCAGCUUUUGCUAUGUUAAAAACAUUGGCGCAAAACUGACAGCACAUAUUUCUACUAUUGUUCUAAAGAGCUUUGAAAUGGACAUCAUAUGACCAAAUAUAUUAUAAAUCUUUAAAAACUUGAAUUGGUCAAUAGUGCUUAUGUCAAUCUGGUCGAUCUAGCUUAGGGUUUGCAUGCUGCUGCGUCGUAGCACGGUUGCACCCUUACUUUUGACGCAGCAAUUGAUAGUUUAAUAAAGCUAGUUCCUCUUUCCUAUUACUAUCCUUCCAAUAUUUUAUUGAGUAUGACUAAUUGCCAUUUGGGCAUUAGUUGUAUAUUUGUUGUCAUCGCUGAUCUGCAUGAUAGGUUAAAUAAAUCACCAUCUCUUCAGUUGGCAGCUUAGAUUUUUCUCAUCUCAAAAAGUCCCCUACAUUUAUCAAUGCGUGUGAAUAUCUUUAAUGCUUGUUAUGAAAAAUCAGUGUGCAUAUGUCCAUUUCAACCUCAUAGAUGAUAUGCUCGUCAUUUUUAACUUGUUUAAACCCUUUUCCCAUUGGUAACGCCGUAACAGUGAGAUUGCCUUUUCCCCCCUCUCCAUAUGUCCCUUUCUUGAUAUGUGAUAUAGUACGAUCCACAUUUCAGUUAAUGCUGUCCUGUUAAUGCGUGUUAUGAAAAUUCAGCAUGCAUAUGUCCAUUUUAACCUCAUAGAUGACAAAUGAGGUCAUCAUUAGCAAACGAUACUGAAACAUUGACAUGCUCGUCAUUUUUUAAACUUAUUUAAACCCUUUUCACAUUGGUAACGCCGUAACAGCGAGAUUGCCUUUUCCCCCUCUCCAGAUGUCCAUUUCUUGAUAUAUGUGAUAUAGUUAGAUCCACACUUUAGUUAAUGCUGUCCUGUAUAUUUUUAUCGGGCUUGCUUUUUAAAUGGUAGGUAUAAUUAAUAAUUUCAAGCAAUCAUGAGUUAGAGAACUGAGCGCUCGCCCAAUGGUAGGAGUUCAGGUUGUUGAACCUACACAUCUGUGUUUGAAUCCCCACGGGGACUCACUUGGGUGCUAUCCAUGUUUAUUCGUGGAGCGGUCCCACUUCUGCCUAUUCGCUUGGGUGCUAUCCGCGUUUAUUGGUGGAGUGGUCUCACUUCUACCUAAAACAGUGGGCAGUUAAGGGAGGGAUCCGUCCCCAUUUAGCCCUGUUUGUUAGCAAUCACGAGUGGUCUCACUUCUACCUAACAGUGCGCAGUUAAGGGAGGGAUCCGUCCCCAUUUAGCCCUGUUUGUUAGCAAUCACGAGUCACGUGCCGCUCAAUGUCUUUUAGAAGUUCAUUCAUUCCCAGUAACAUAUACAUGCAUAUAAUUUAGUUAUUACACCCUUCUAUAGACAUGCCUUUUGGACCGCGGAUGACUGGUUUUGAGCUGGAAAUGGCUGGAUUUGAUGAAUCAAUGGGACUGCCUUAUGGGCCUUACAUAAACAAUGAGGUAACACAAUAAUUCCUUGUUCCUCAUUAAGACUAGCAGCUUCAUCAGUAAAUCUGAAGUACUUGAUGAUUUUAUUUGACCUGGGGCAUCUUUACAGAUGCCUUCUGUUGGUUCGUAUCAAACACCCUACAUGUUGAAGGUUUCCCACCCAACUGUACUAGACGGGAGCUUGCACGUAUCCUUUGCUAUUAUUAUUUUGAGUUUAUUUGUCAUUUUAUUAAUAAGGGGACUAUGUUGUAUGUUUAUGUUCUUACAAAUCUUAUGUCUCAGUCUUUUCUUUUGUGUUUUAUCUUGCACCAUUUAGUGCUUCAGCUCCUUGACUCUUGCUUCUCUAGAUAUAUUUCGCCCUUUUACUGGGUUCUGUGCAGUAAGGCUGGUCAACACAGGAUAUAAUAAUCGACAUGUAAUAGCUUAUGCUGACUUUGAAACUCUUGCCCAAGCCUUCUCUGCCAUGAAGUCUCUGCAAGGUGAAUAUAACAUCAUUGUCAGCUGAAAUUGUGUCCCUUACAUUCUACUCCCUCUGUUCCUAAAUAUUUGUCUUUCUAGAGAUUUCAACAAGUGACUACAUACAGAGCAAAAUGAAUGAAUCUACGCUCUAAAAUAUGUCUAUACAUCCUUAUGUGGUAGUCCAUUUGAAAUCUCUAAAAAGACAAUAUUUAGGAACGGAGGGAGUAGUAUUCUAUACCUGAUACUUACGUUACCAAUUCUUUUGAGCUUUGGUCUGCACAUCCUUUGUAUCAAUAUCGUUGUGUUCCCAAGUUGUGACUCUUACAUAAGUACUUACGGCAGUUGUCAACCCUUGUUGAUUGUUUCAUUGUUUGUUUGCAUAACUUUCCUGUUCUUACUGAGCUAGAGUUUACAUGGUAGUAUCUGCAUGCAGACUAGAGAAUACAUCCCUUUGCUCUAUUCUUUUCUGCUCUAUUUCACUUCCAGUAGGUUGCGUGUUAACUAUUGUUUAUAUAUCACAUCUCUUGCAAAUAUAAGUGUAGCAUUUAUUCAUUUCAUAUCCAGCAUCUGCCGGAUAACUUUUACCUGAAUAUUGAGACAAGUGCCUCUAAUUGCUACUACUAUUUUUCCUUUUUUUUUAGUAUUUUAGUGCAUCAACUUUGUUCCCUAGAUGAUUGAUUUGAGACUUUCUACAGUUAGCAUAAUCCCUUAUGUUGUUUGUCUCACUAUCCCAAAAUAUGUCAGUGUUAUAGCAUGAAAUUGACAAUUGUCUGGUUGUGGGCUUGAAAUAAACAAUGACGCUUCUUUUUGCAGGUUAUUUGUUUGACAUGCAUGACCUAUACUCAGUCAAAUUGGACCUCCAGUUCCUUCCUGUUCCGUCCAAGGUAAACUGAUGGCUCGUGCUAGGCGUUAAAUCUUGUGGAUCUCAGUUUCUUAUAUAUCAAUCUGAAACCAUCAAUUUGCAAAUUCUUCCUUGCUUAUGUUACCUCAUGGGUGUGAAUGGACGACUUGAUUAAUUGUUUCUCAGGCUUUACCUGAUACACUAUGAUGAGCCUAUAUUAGAACUGGAAUUGGUUUUUUAAAGUUAAAUGUUGUAUGAGAUUCUAUAGUUUGUCAUUUUGUACCGUAACUUAUCAUGUAUGUGGGUGGCCCAUACAUACAGUUAUGAGCAAUUGAAGGUUUCAUAUCACCAAUGUUUUACAAAAGUAAAAGGUUUCUAUUUGGUGGGCAUAUUACGUCAAUAUACUUUUAUUGUGGAUUACACAAGGGCCAUGACAUGGCAUGUGCCUGGUGCUCUUUAAGCUGCUUAUCUUGAAGAUAAGCAAAGUUCUGUUCGGUCCAAUGAUGUUUUCUUUUGUUGGGUUACUCAGGCAAGAUCGAUUGUGUUCGGUUCAUAAUCACUUAGUCACCUAGCCCACCUGUCAUGCUCUUUUGGCUAAAUUGCCACAAUUGUGUCCAUCACACUUCGGCCAUGACUCUCGGUCCAUGUUCCUUUGUAUGUGGGCGCCGCGCGGGGUUGCGGUGGUAGGAUUCCUUGCGGUUUCGGGCGUGGCUCGCGUUGGCAGGGGAGGGAUGCGCUGAACUGCCCUCCGGGCAUCCUGAUUUCCGGUGGAUGCUUGGAAAUUAUGAAGAUCUUUUUGGUUGUGUUGUGCCGUACCGUGUCCUCAUCGGCGGUGGGUGCAUGUACCCGCCGCCCAUGGAGAUAGAGUAGGGGAUCUCUCUGUCCAACCACGCCACCGGCGAGAAGGGAGGAAAUGGCGAGGAGUCAUUUUUUUUAGAAUGGGGCAUGGGAGGAUUCGAGCGGACGAGGAAGAUGGUGAGAUAAUGAGCCUUAAUGGUGAUGGUGUUUGAGGUUAGCAGUGGGCCUCUUAAUUGUGUUAGAUGUACAUUAUGGAGGCCUAGUCGGGAAAGCCCAUUGAGAGCCACUGCUGUCUGACGGGUGGGCGCACACAGAGGGCCCCUCUAGGAGACGGAGAGGGAGAUGGCGGUGGCGGCAUGUGCAGCGUGGCAUCGUAUUCGCGGUCAGCAAUGGCGAGAGCGCGCCGCGUAGGAGGAUGGUUGGGAGGCGGAGCGACAUGCAGCGUCGUGGCGCAUGGCCGCACCCGCACCACGGGUGAAGCAGCAGCCGCUAGGGAGCUGAGGCAAGCCGCAAUCGUCCCUUAGUUUCUGUAUACUUCUGCUGUCAGCUGUCACCGUAAUUGUCAAUAGAAAUUGCCAAUUUUGGUUGCUAAUCCCGCAGGUUAGCACAGUAGGCCAAAAACGUUGUAUCAGGCGCUUUGGCUCUUCUUCUAAGAAAAUGAUGCAUCUUUCCAUGUUUAUUCUAGAAAGAACAAAAGUAGGAGAUGCUAGCUUUGUAAAAUUAUUCUCAGAUGGUGCGACACUGCGACUGCUCCGUAAAAAUGUGCAACUCAAGCAGAAAUGUUGGGUGUGCGUUAGUUUAGAGCGAAUUGUUUGGCCAUGACCCUAAAAACAGGAACCUAUUUGACCAUCAAUUUGACCUUGCAAUGUUUUUCAAAUUUAUCCAUGAAUUUGAAUUUGAUUGGAUUGGAUUGCAUGACAUAGUAGUUAAAUGGAUGUUUGGUUUGUCUAGACAAAGACCGGUAUGUUUGAUUCAAGUCAUUGCUAUAUCAUCCUUACAUUUCGCUUGUCAGUUUACCAUUGUGAUUAUAUUAGUGUAUUUUCCUUGGCAUUUAUGGCAAUGUCCCUCAAUGUAUCCAUGAAAUGCCUAUUUUAUUUGCGUGCACUGUAAUAUGUUUUUGGGAGUCUUUCUGCUCAGCUACGUUUAAGAUACUGUUCCUCUAUGCAUAGGAUACGAUGCUUAUAAUAUAUAGCUGUUUAGCUGCUAACUCAUCACACUGGUGUGUGGUUUUGCAGAUUCACACGGCAAUCAUUUUGUACAACUACUCUGGUCAUGAGUAAUGUUAAUGUAACAUAUAAUGGAUCUUUCCAUUUUAUGGCUUCUCCUUACGUUUUCAACCCCAGUCUCUCGAAUCCUUGGUGCUUAAUAGAAAAAUCACGGUGCUAGUCAAUGUAGGUUAUGAGGAAUGGCCUGACAUGAAUGAGCCUACCCAGUCUUAUCUUGUGUAACUUAACAGUUGAAGUAGUAAUAAUUGCAGCAGGUUUUUGAUGUUCACCUAUUGUUGCCAUGCAUAAAAGAUUUAAAAAAACAAGAUAAAUAUUGGUAGGAUGUUGGUGCUCAAAUUUGACCAUGUGAUAUUGUGAUGCGAUUCUAACUUCUGCCUGGUCUGACUCCUGUGUGUACGGUGAGGAGCGCAGAUCUGCUGCCUUUUGUAGUUCUGUAUGCUAAUGGGAAACCAUCCGAUGAAGGCCCUUGUGUUUCGCUGAGGUAUGUGCAUUAAUCUUGACAUCGUUGUCAGCCGAAACUGUGUCCCUUACAUUCUACUCCCUCCGUUCCUAAAUAUUUGUCUUUCUAGAGAUUUCAAGAAGUGACUACAUACAGAGCAAAAUGAGUGAGUCCACGCUCUAAAAUAUGUAUAUAUACAUCUGUAUGUAGUAGUCCGUUUGAAAACUCUAAAAAGACAAAUAUUUAGGAACGGAGGGGGUAAUAUUCUAUACCUGAUACUUACGUUACCAAUUCUAUACCUGAUACUUACAUUACCAAUUCUUUUGAGCUUUGGUCUGCACAUCCUUUGUAUCAAUAUCGUUGUGUUCCCAAGUUGUGACUCUUACACAAGUACUUACGGCAGUUUUCAACCCUUGUUGACUGUUUCAUUGUUUGUUUGCAUAACUUUCCUGUUCUUACUGAGCUAGAGAUUACAUGCUAGAAUCUGCAUGCAGAAUAGAGAAUACAUCCCUUUGCUCUAUUCUUUUCUGCUAUGUUUCACUUCCAGUAGGUUGUGUGUUAACUAUUGUUUAUAUAUCACACAUCUUGCAAAUAUAAGUGUAGCAUUUAUUCAUUUCAUAUCCAGCAUCUGCCAGGUAACUUUUACCUGAAUAUUGACAUAAGUGCCUCGUAUUGCUACUACUAUUUUUCCUUUUUUUUAGUAUUUUAGUGCAUCAACUUUGUUCCCUAGAUGAUUGAUUUGAGACUUUCUACAGUUAGCAUAAUCCCUUAUUUUGUUUGUCUCACUAUCCUAAAAUAUGUCAGUGUUAUAGCACGAAAUUAACACUUGUUUGGUUGUGGGCUUGAAAUAAACAAUGGCGCUUCUUUUUGCAGGUUAUUUGUUUGACAUGCAUGACCGAUACCCAGUCAAAUUGGACCUCCAGUUCCUUCCUGGUCCGUCCAAGGUAAACCGAUGGCUCGUGCUAGGCGAUUAAUCUUGUGGGUCUCAGUUUCUUAUAUAUCAAUCUGAAACCAUCAAUUUGCAAAUUCUUCCUUGCUUAUGUUACCCCAUGGGUGAGUAUGGACAACUUGAUUAAUUGUCUCCCAGGCUUUACCUGAUACACUUUGAUGAGCUUACAUUAGAACUGGAAUUGAUUUUUUAAAGUUAAAUGUUGUAUGAGAUGCUCUAGUUUGUCAUUUUGUACCGUAACUUAUCAUGUAUCUGCGUGGCCCAUACAAUACAGUUAUGAGCAACUGAAGGUUUCAUAUCACCAAGGUUUUACAAAAGUAAAAGGUUUCUGUUUGGUGGGCAUAUUACGUCAAUAUACUUUUAUUGUAGAUUACACAAGGGCCAUGACAUGGCAUGUGCUUGGUGCUCUUUAAGCUGCUUAUCUUGAAGAUAAGCAAAGUUCUGUUUGGUCCAAUGAUGUUUUCUGUUGGUGGGUUACUCAGGCAAGAUUGAUUGUGUUCGGUUCAUAAUCACUUAGUCACCUAGCCCACCUGUCAUUCUCUUUUGGCUAAAUUGCCACAAUUGUGUCCAUCACACUUUGGCCAACCAAGUAACCAUAUGCCAUGACUCUCGAUUCAUGUUCCUUUGUGUGCGGGCGCCGCACGGGGUUGGGGUGGUAGGAUUCCUUGCGGUUUCGGACGAGGCUCGCGUUGGCGGGGAGGGAUGCGCGAAACUGCCUGCCGAGCGUCCUGAUUUCCGAUGGAUGCUUGGGAAUUGUGAAGAUCUUUUUGGUUGUGUUGUGCCGUACCGUGUCCUCAUCGGUGGCUGGUGCGUGUACCCGCCGCCCAUGGCAGAUAGUAGGGGAGCUCUCUGUCCGUCCGCGCCGCCGGCGACGAAGGAGGAAACGACGAGGAGUCAUUUUUUUAGAAUGGGGCAUGGGAGGAUUCGAGCGGAGCAGGAAGAUGGCGAGAUGAUGAGCCUUAAUGGUGAUGGUAUUUGAGGUUGACAGUGGGCCUCUUAAUUGUGUUAGAUGUACAUUAUGGAGGCCCAGUCGGGAAAGCCCACUGAGAGCCACUGCUGUCUGACGGGUGGGCGCACACAGAUGGCCCCUCUAGGAGACGGAGAGGGAGAUGGCGGCGGCGGCGGCAGGUGCGGCGUGGCAUCAUAUUCGCGGUCAGCGAUGGCGAGAGCGCGCCGCGUAGGAGGAUGGUUGGGAGGCUGAGCGACAGGCAGCGUCGUGGCGCAUGGCCGCACCCGCACCACAGGUGAAGCAGCAGCCGCUAGGGAGCUGAGGCAAGCCGCAAUCGUCCCUUAGUUUCUGUAUACUUCUCUUGUCAGCUGUCACCAUAAUUGUCAACAGAAAUUGCCAGUUUUGGUUGCUAAUCCCGCAGGUUAGCACAGUAGGCCGAAAAACGUUGUAUCAGCCGCUUUGGCUCUUCUUCUAAGAAAAUGAUGCAUCUUUCCAUGUUUAUUCUAGAAAGAACAAAAGUAGGAGAUGCUAGCUUUGUAAAAUUAUUCUCAGAUGGUGCGACACUGCGACUGCUCCGUAAAAAUGUGCAACUCAAGCAGAAAUGUUGUGUGUGCGUUAGUUUAGAGGGAAUUGUUUGGCCAUGACCCUAAAAACAGGAACCUAUUUGACCAUCAAUUUGACCUUGCAAUGUUUUUCAAAUUUAUCCAUGAAUUUGAAUUUGAUUGGAUUGGAUUGCAUGACAUAGUAGUUAAAUGGAUGUUUGGUUUGUCUACACAAAGACCGGUAUGUUUGAUUCAAGUGAUUGCCAUAUCAUCCUUACAUUUCCCCUAUCAGUUUACCAUUGUGAUUAUAUUAGUGUAUUUGCCUUGGCAUUAUGGCAAUGUCCCUCAUUGUAUCCAUGAAAUGCUUGUUUUAUUUGCGUGCACUGUAAUAUGUUUUUGGGAGUCUAUUUCUGCUCAGCUACGUUUAAGAUACUGUUCCUUUAUGCAUAGGAUACAAUGCUUAUAAUAUAUAGUUGUUUAGCUGCUAACUCAUCACACUGGUGUGUGGUUUCGCAGAUUCACACGGCAAUCAUUUUGUACAACUACUCUGGUCAUGAGUAAUGUUAAUGUAACAUAUAAUGGAUCUUUCCAUUUUAUGGCUUCUCCAUACGUUUUCAACCCCAGUCUCUCGAAUCCUUGGUGCUUAAUAGAAAAAUCACGGUGCUAGUCAAUGUAGGUUAUGCGGAAUGGCCUCACAUGAAUGAGCCUACCCAGUCUUAUCUUGUGUAACUUAACAGUUGAAGUAGUAAUAAUUGCAGCAGGUUUUUGAUGUUCACCUAGUGUUGCCAUGCAUAAAAGAUUUAAAAAAAACAAGAUAAAUAUUGGUAGGAUGUUGGUGCUCAAAUUUGACCAUGUGAUAUUGUGAUGCGAUUCUAACUUCUGCCUGGUCUGACUCCUGUGUGUACGGUGAGGAGUGCAGAUCUACUGCCUUUUGUAGUUCUGUAUGCUAAUGGGAAACCAUAUAUAAGAUGAAGGCCCUUGUGUUUCGCUGAGGUAUGUGCAUUAAUCUUGACAUUAUUGUCAGUCGAAACUGUGUCCCUUACAUUCUACUCCCUCCGUUCCUAAAUAUUUGUCUUUCUAGAGAUUUCAACAAGUGACUACAUACAGAGCAAAAUGAGUGAGUCCACGCUCUAAAAUAUGUCUAUAUACAUCUGUAUGUGGCAGUCCAUUUGAAAUCUCUAAAAAGACAAAUAUUUAGGAACGGAGGGAGUAGUAUUCUAUACCUGAUACUUACGUUACCAAUUCUUUUGAGCUUUGGUCUGCACAUCCUUUGUAUCAAUAUCGUUGUGUUCCCAAGUUGUGACUCUUACAUAAGUACUUAUGGCAGUUGUCAACCCUUGUUGAUUGUCUCAUUGGUUGUUUGCAUAACUUUCAUGUUCUUACUGAGCUAGAGUUUACAUGCUAGAAUCUGCAUGCAGAAUAGAGAAUACAUCCCUUUGCUCUAUUCUUUUCUGCUAUGUUUCACUUCCAGUAGGUUGUGUGUUAUCUAUUGUUUAUAUAUCACACAUCUUGCAAAUAUAAGUGUAGCAUUUAUUCAUUUCAUAUCCAGCAUCUGCCAGGUAACUUUUACCUGAAUAUUGAGAUAAGUGCCUUGUAUUGUUACUACUAUUUUUCCUUUUUUUUAAGUAUUUUAGUGCAUCAACUUUGUUCCCUAGAUGAUUGAUUUCAAACUUUGUACAGUUAGCAUAAUCCGUUAUUUUGUUUGUCUCACUAUCCCAAAAUGUCAGUGUUAUAGCACGAAAUUGACACUUGUUUGGUUGUGGGCUGGAAAUAAACAGUGGCGCUUCUUUUUGCAGGUUAUUUGUUUGACAUGUAUGACCGAUACUUAGUCAAAUUGGACCUCCAGUUCCUUCCUGGUCCGUCCAAGGUAAACUGAUGGCUCGUGCUAGGCGAUUAAUCUUGUGGGUCUCAGUUUCUUAUAUAUCAAUCUGAAACCAUCAAUUUGCAAAUUAUUCCUUGCUUAUGUUACUCCAUGGGUGAGAAUGGACAACUUGAUUAAUUGUUUCCCAGGCUUUACCUGAUACACUAUGAUGAGCCUAUAUUAGAACUGGAAUUGAUUUUUUAAAGUUAAAUGUUGUAUGAGAUGCUCUAGUUUGUCAUUUUGUACCGUAACUUAUC